Molecule: long non-coding RNA, 64739 nt
Filed under: Olea europaea (common olive)
Lineage: Eukaryota; Viridiplantae; Streptophyta; Magnoliopsida; Lamiales; Oleaceae
Description: long non-coding RNA (OEUR_LNC007992)
Source: RNAcentral
UUUAAGCAGGUACUCAUAACACUAUUUUGUGCUAUCAUCGACAAAAAAUAAUAAAGUACUUUUUGCUACUUCUUGUUUGUACAAAUUUUAAAUCAUAGAUGUCACUAUGAAUUAAAUCAAGUGGUUCUAUAUUUCAUUCAAUUAAUUUUGGAUUUCAAUUAGUAUUAGAGCUUGUACUCUCCUUCAAAAAAUUUUACAAUCUUGAGUAAUGGCUAACCAAGUUUUUCAAAAUUUUGAGGGGCACUCCACAAACCGACCUCCUUUCUUUAAUGACACAUACUAUAAUUAUUGGAAAGUUAGGAUGAUGCUAUAUAUUCAAUCAAUUGAUUAUAACAUUUGGGAAGUUAUUGAAUACAGUCCCAAUGUGCCUACCAAGACUAACAAAAUAGAUGGGAGACCAUAUGAAACUAUCCCUAAGCCUAAAGAGGAAUAUGAUGAAGAAGAUAAGAAAAAAUUAUCGUUAAAUGUCAAAGCUAAGAAUCUACUUUAUUGUGCACUAGAUAGAAAUGAAUUUAAUCGAAUUAGCACAUGUGAAUCGGCAUGAUGUUUGGCAUGCACUAGAAGUCACUUAUGUUGGCAUGAGCAAGGUUAAGGAAACAAAAAUAAAUUUGUUAGUUAAAGAAUUCGAAAAUUUCUUCAUGAAACAAGAUAAGCUUAUUGUUGAUAUGAUUACACGUUUUACCAAUAUUGUGAAAAGACUUAAAGGUUUUGAUCGUAAAUUUACUAACGAUGAACUUGUUAGCAAAAUGCUUAGGUUCUUAAUGGAGGAAUGUAGCCCGUUGAGGAUGUUGAUUGAGAAUACCAAGGAUAUAAAUACAUAUCCUUUGAAGGAGCUCUACGAUACAUUAAUAACCUAUAAACUCAAUAAUGCCGAGGUCAAGGAGAAAACAAGAAAAAGCAAGGAAGAAUCAAAGGAGCCCCUCAAAUGACAAAUUUCCUCAAAAUCAAAAAUUGAAGAAGGAACAUCAAAGGAAAAAUGAGCAAUGAAGGGCCUAACGAUUUAGUUCUUCUAGUCAAAAAAUGAAGAGGUCUUCGUAAUAAUCCAAGAUUUCAAAGGAGGAAAAAUGGUGAAGAAAGAAGCAAGAAGAUUAUUUGCUAUGAUUGUGAUAAUUCCGAUCACAAAAGAAUCAAGUGCCUGAACAAAAAGAAAAAUUUCAAGAAAAAAGCACUUCAAGCUACUUGUGCUUCAUGGCGAUCGAAGACUAGGUAAGCGUAAAUGAAAAAUGUUCUUAUGAUGAGUUAUCAAAUUCAUAUGAUGAAAUGUUUGAAAAUUUUGAAAAACUUGCCUUGAGUCACUCCAUUCUUAAAAAAAAGAAUUCUUUGUUAAAAGAUGAAAUAAAGAAAAUUUUGGAAAAACAAAAAGAAAAAGUUGAUCAUGAUUAUUAGUGAAGGAGAACAUUUCACUAAAAGAAAAAGUGGAAGAUUUAACGAAAAUUAUUCAUAAAUUCAUCGAGGGAAAGAAAAUUUUGAUUUAAUACUCAGUAGUCAGAAUGCGUUUUUGAUAAAGGGAAAAUUGGAUAUAAAAACUCUUUAAAACAAAAAUAUCUCAAAAAUAUGUUCAUUAAAACUUCAAACACUACAUGUAGUUUUUGUAAUAAAAGUGGACAUGUAGCAUUUAAUUGUCUAGCUAAAAGAAGCUAUCUUUUGAAAACAAGUAUAAGUGGAUUCGAGAGUUUACAAAAACUAACUACCAAGGACCCAAGUUUUCAUGGGUACCAAAAAUCAAAAAUUGAAUUGUUCUUUUAGGAACUAAAGAAAAUAAGAAACAAAUGGUUCUUAGAUAGCUGUUGUUCGAAACACAUGACUGGAGAUUGAUCCUUGCUAUCGAACUUCAAAAAUAAGGAUGGAAGCCACGUAACCUUCGGAGACAACACCAAAGGCAAAAUUAUUGGCAUUGGAAACAUCGGUAAUUGCUCAUCCUACCAAUUGAAAAUGUCUUACUAGUUGAUAACCUUAAACAUAAUUUACUAAGUAUUAGUUAAUUAUGUGAUAAAGGUUAUAAUAUAAAAUUUGAUUCUUCCAAAUGUCUUAUUGAGGAUGCUACACCAAAAGAUGUGAUUUUCGUAGAAAACUGAAGUAAAGAUGUUUAUAUUAUGAACAUUGAAUUUGAAAAUAAAUGAAAAUUGUUUACUUAGUGUGAAAGAAGAAUCAUGGCUAGGGCAUAGAUUAGAGCAUGUUAGCAUGAUCUUCUUUAGAAAAUUUCCAAAAAAUUAUUUUGUAAAAGGUUUACCAAAUUUAAAAUUUGAAAAAGAUAAAAUUUGUGAUGCUUGUCAAUUUGAAAAACAAGUAAAAAAUUCUUUCAAGCCUGAACUUCAUGUUUCAACUACUAAACCAUUACAACUUCUCCACAUAAAUCUUUUUGGACCUUUUGGGACAGCUAGCUUAAGUGGUAAACAUUACGCCUUUGUUAUAGUUAGCGACUUUUCAAGAUUUACUUGUGUUGUAUUUUUGAGUUUGAAAGAAUAAGCCUUAAAGCUUUUAAAUAUUUUUGUAAGAAAGUUGAAAAUGAAAGAAAAAAAAAAGGUUACUCUAUUACAAUUAUUAGAAGUGAUCAUGGUGGAGAAUUUGAUAAUGUUGGCUUUGAUGACUUUUGUAAUGAUCAUGAAUAUGAACAUAAUUUUUUGGCUCCUAGAACUCAAAAAAAUGGUGCAGUAAAAAGGAAGAAUCGUAUAUUGCAAAAAAUUGCUAGGACCAUGCUAAAUAAAAAUAAUUUGCCAAAAUAUUUUUGGGCCAAAGCCGUGAACACUGCUUGCUACAUCGUCAAUGGAGUUUUAGUAAGUAAAAACAAAACUAAAACUCCUUUCGAACUUUGGAAAAAUAGAAUUCCAAAUCUUAGUUAUUUUAAAGUUUUUGGAUGUAAAAUGCUUUAUUUUGAAUACAAAAGAUAAUUUGGGAAAAUUUGAUUCAAAAUCCGAUGUAAUAAUUUUGCCAGGAUAUUCAUCGACUAGCAAUGCAUAAAGAGUUUUUAACAAACGAACUCUAGUCGUUGAAGAAUUCAUGCAUGUUACUUUUGAUGAGACUAACUCUUUUGAUUGAGAGAAAGAUAGUGAUGACGAUAUAGGUUUGGAAGCUCCAUUUGAACAAAUGAAGAUUCAAAACCAAAGCAAUGAGGCACCAAAUGAAGAACAAAAGGAGGAAUCAAAUGAAGAAAAACAAACCGUGGCACAAAGUGAUUGCUCAUUACCAAAAGAAUGGAGAUUUGUUCCAUCUCAUCCUAAGGAGGUAUUAUCAUAGGUGAUCCAUCAAAAUGUAUCACUACUAAAACUUCUUACAAAAAUCAUCUCGGUAGUUGUGUAUUUAUUUCUCAAAUCAAAUCUAAAAAUUUCAAAGAAACCGAGUUUGAUGAGUUUUGGAUUCUAGUGAUGCAAGAAGAAUUAAAUCAAUUUGAAAAAAAAAACAUAUUUGGUACUUAGUCGCUAGACCAAACCAUCAAAUCACUAUUGGUACUAAAUGGAUUUUUAGAAACAAAAGAGAUAAAAAUGGAAUAAUUGUGCGUAACAAAGCUAGAUUGGUGACCCAAGGUUACAAUAAAAAAGACUGUAUUGAUUUUGAAGAAACAUUUGCACCCGUAACUAGACUAGAAUCCAUUCACUUGCUUAUUGCAUUUGCAUAUUAUAAAGAUUUUACACUUUAUCAAAUGAAUGUUAAAAGUACAUUUCUAAUUGAAUUUAUUCAAAAAGAAUUUUUUGUUGAGCAGCCUCUCAAUUUAAAGAUCAUAAGUAUUCGGAUCAUGUGUUUAAACUUAGAAAAGCUCUUUACAAUUUGAAACAAGCUCCAAGAGUUUGGUAUGAACGUUUGAGCAAAUUUUUUCUUUUAAAUGAUUUUUCAAUUGAAAAGCAGAUACUACAUUUUUUGUAAAAACUCAUAAGAAAGAUAUGCUUAUUGUUCAAAUUUAUGUUGAUGACAUUAUUUUUGGUACCACAAACAUCCAUCUUUGCAAAGCGUUUUCAAGUUGUAGUAACUAGACUAGAAUCCAUUCACUUGCUUAUUGCAUUUGCAUAUUAUAAAGAUUUUACACUUUAUCAAAUCAAUGUUAAAAGUACAUUUCUAAUUGAAUUUAUUCAAAAAGAAUUUUUUGUUGAGCAGCCUCUCAAUUUAAAGAUCAUAAGUAUUCGGAUCAUGUGUUUAAACUUAGAAAAGCUCUUUACAAUUUGAAACAAGCUCCAAGAGUUUGGUAUGAACGUUUGAGCAAAUUUUUUCUUUUAAAUGAUUUUUCAAUUGAAAAGCAGAUACUACAUUUUUUCUAAAAACUCAUAAGAAAGAUAUGCUUAUUGUUCAAAUUUAUGUUGAUGACAUUAUUUUUGGUACCACAAACAUCCAUCUUUGCAAAGCGUUUUCAAAUUGUAUGAGUAAAGAAUUUGAAAUGAGCAUGAUAGAACUAAAAUUCUUCAUUGGACUUCAAGUUAAACAAACAAAAGAUGAUAUUUUCAUAAAUCAAAAUAAGUACAUAUUAGACAUGCUUAAAAGAUUUGAUAUACAUGAUCUUAAGCUUAUGAACACACCCAUGAACACGUCUCUAAAGCUUGACAAAGAUGAGCAUUACACUCUGGUUGAGGUCACAAAAUAUUGAGGUAUGAUCAGAUCCUUUCUUUAUUUGACUACUAGUAGGCCUGAUAUUACGUUUAGUGUAUGCAUAUGUGUUAGAUUUCAAUCUAAUCCUAAGGAAACACAUUUACGUGUCGUAAAAAGAAUUUUUCGAUUUCUUAGUGGAACUAGAACCUUAGGACUUUGGUAUCCAAAAGAGACUCACAUUGAUCUAAUUAGUUAUUCGGAUGAUGAUUGGACCAGAUGUAAUGUUGAUCGUAAAAACACUAGCGAAAAUUGUCAAUUUCUAGGCUUUUGCACUUGUGUCUUCGUCUAGUAAGCAACAAAAUUCCAUUACACUAUCCACCACCGAGGCGGAAUACAUUUCGGUUGCUAGUUGUUGUGCACAAACACUUUGGAUGAAACCAACUCUUUGCGAUUAUUACUUAUCUUAUGCUCAUAGGCCUAUUUUGUGUGAUAACAUUAGUGCCAUCAAUCCCGUUUUGCAUUCACGAACUAAGCAUAUUGAAAUAUGACACCACUUUCUUAGAGAUCAUGCACAAAAGGGAGAUAUCAUGUUAGAAUUUGUAAAAACCAAGGACCAAUUAGCCGACAUCUUCACUAAACCUCUAGCACACAAUUGAUUUUCCCAUAUUCGAAGAGGUUUAGGAAUUACUGAUGAAAAUAAAGUGGAAUAAAUUCAAUCUUUCCAAUCACGUAUGUUUUACAAUUUUUUAAAAUAAUUUUUGAAUUACCCUACUUUAAAAAAAAUCCUUCAGACGAUAAAGUCUAGACAGUUCAACAUUGUCCGGAUUGACAGAGAGUUCAAACCAUUGAAUCUUUGUUGAUCCGGACAUCCAGAUCAUAUUCCAGACAUCCAGAUGAGAGGAAAAUCAGGUGUUCAUAAACACGAACAGCCUCUUCGUCUCUCAUUUUUUCUUCUCACCUUCCUUGAAUUUUUCUCAAUCUCCUCUCACCAUGUCAUUGACAUUGCUUAUCGGUCUACCUUCAAUUCCAAAUUGCCACAAGAUUAUAGGUUUCAAAAUCACAUUUUUUUCUCAAAAAUCAUUCAAUUUUGUGUAUAUAUCCCCAAAUAUCACUCCACUCGAACCUGUCAUUUAGUUUGGGUAUUCUUGCACAAUUCAUUCACUAAUUCAUAGGAUUUCAAAGGCCCCAUCACCACUCAUCAAGAUAUUUGAAACUCUUCUAAAAAAUUUGAAUUUUACUGGUGAAGAUUGAACCCCUCGAAUUCAAAAUUUGGGGCUUUUGAGUUUCUCCUUAAUUCUUCACAAUGUCGGGAUCUCAACAAGGAAGAAGGGCAAAAAGAAUUACGAGACAACCUCCUUCACCACCUUCGGAAGAAUAAAUGGACUUGGAGCCGGAGGGGCCACUGAAUCCUUUCGAAAAAUCACCCAUUUUAAUUGGUGAGAUUGUUGAUUUUGCUGAUUUUUCUAUAGAUAUUCCAGCAUUUCAAAUUAAAGAAUGUUUUGAACGUAUGGGAUGGGUAUCCAUGGCAACAAUGGAAGAGCAUGCAUACCUACACCUUAUGAAAGAAUUUUAUCAAAAGAUGCACGUUGCACCUCAUUUCGAUGAGAUUACAUGUUUAGUAAAAAAAUGUGUGCAUUACGAUUUCUAAGGCUUCAAUUCGUGAUAUUAUCGUGAAGUCACCGGGAAGGAUUUUGAGAAUAUUACAAAAUUGAGUGCGCAUCAAUUAAUUCUUCCAUGUAAAGUUUUAAAAAACAUUAUCGCCCAUAUUAUUUUUCCUCGUAAUGGUCACCGAGACUAAGUUAAUCACUUCGGUCUCUUUAUUAUGGAUUUACUUUUAGUUGGCCAUCGAAUUGAUUUUCCUACAAUUGCAUUAGGACUUAUGAAGCUUGUGCAUGCAUCACAACACGUUAAAACUUGACCUUAUGGGAUGCUUCUAACAAAAUUUUUUGAACACUUUAAUGUUUUUUCGAUGGAGAAGAUUUUGUUAAGUUACACCCUACCGAUACUAUCAACAUCCAAACACUAAAAAGAAUGAAGAUAGUAAAAGAACGAGGGCAAUGAGUAGCUCACACGAAAGGAUUCGAUCCUACCUUUGGUCCAUCUACUUUGCUUUUCGAAGAAGAAGUCAAAGACGAGCCUGAAGCACCUACUCCCGCUUCUGACAUUUUUAGCUCUAAUGCACCCCGUUCUUUUGGAAGGCACUUCAUAUUUACUGAGGAGCAGUAUAAUCUCCUUCAUAGGCGUAUUGGUUCCCCCACCUCGUCCAUCGACUUCUUUGUAGCCUACUUUUUCAGAUACAGGCAAAGCAAACCAUUAUCCAGGACCGACAGGCCGAAAUGCAAGAGUAACAAAAUGCAUUCUUCGCGAAUUUUUAUGCUCGCUUCCCAACUCCGACGCCCUAGUUUAUUGCUAUACUUUCAUUUGCUAGAUGUUACUUUAUUGUCCAACUAUAAAAUUCAAUUAUUGCGCUUUUGUGUUAUUCGGCUGCAUGGCAUAUUAUGUAUUGAAUGUCCUAUGGUUGACUUCUUUAUGACUUUCAUUUGUGCUAUUAUCUCUUUUUGCUUAUGCCAAAAGGGGAAGGAUAAAGUAGAUGAUUAUGCAAAGCAGGAGGAACAUUGUAAAGGGAAACUUGUAAAAUCUUAUGAACAUUGUAAAGGGGAAACUUAAAAUUUUUAUAUACAUGUAGAUAGGGGGCACUUAAGUGAAAUCAAUAGGGGGAAUAUAAUUGCUAUAUUCAAAUUUCAUGUUCCUUGCCCAAUUCAAUUUGUUUACUAUUUAUAUUGCAAAUUCUUUUGUUUGUCAUAAUCAAAAAGGGGAAAAUUGUUCACCUAAUGGUUGACUUCUCAUUUUGAUUAUAACAAAGAAAUUGCAUUUAAUUCUAACAAAUUGAAUUUGAGUGUUGAUAGUGAUUACUAUGAAAUCAACAAAGAAUGAAGAAAUGAGAAUCAAGAUCAAGAUUCAUGCAUAUAGUUAUGUAGGCAAAUUUCUGUAUCCAGUAUCUUUUCCGAUUUUCUUGAAAUUUGUUUUAUGUUUCUCUGAAAUUUUUAAAUAAGCUAUAAUGUCAUUUCUUGUAGGCAAAUUUUUCAGUCUGUUUUUUCUUCUGAUUUUCUUGAAAUGUCGUAUCAAUUCUUUCUGCACUGUGAAUGAUCUCACAAUUUGUGUUCUCUCUGGAGUUCUCCAUUAUGAUCUAACGAUAUAAGAAUCGUCCUAAUUCUAUCUGCUCUUCUUGUUAUGUUUUCAGGGCAUAUCAGGGUUGAUGUGUACAUGAUUUAUUUCAAUCUGGAGAUUAUUUUAGCUAAAUUUAAAAAGUUCAACAGAGGAAUUUCAUGGGCUGUAGCUAGUUUGAAAUUGAAUCAUCCAAUUUUUUCUGAUGAUAAUGCUAGCAUUCAUCUGCACACAGUUUUUAAGCAAAAUAAGCUAUAUUUCCAUCGUUAAACCUUUGAAAUGAAGAUAAGUUGCAUCCAAAAACAAAACCUGUAGAAGCAGAAGCUGAUGUUUUAUUAAUUAAUACCAUAAGCAUUAACUUUUCUUUACAAAGUAACCAUUUUUAGGUAAACAGUGCAUGAAAUCUGGUUAGUGUGAUUCUGCAGGAGCCAUGGCAUCGCCAGUACUCUCUUCUGGCAUAUUGGAUGCAGGUGAAUUCAUGUGUGCAUGGUGACUGAAGUACAUGGUGAAUCCAGGACAACCAUAGGGAUUGCCACAGUUCAUUGGUCGGCAGUGGUAAUUCGGCGGAGGAACCCAUGGUCCUUCUCCAUAUCCUGGUGGACUGCCUCCAUCAUUGCCCCCUGAACCGGAACCAAAUCCACCACCGAACCCAAAUCCACCACCAUUUCCUCCGACCGGGAUGCCAUAACCCGGAGCACCAACUCCUGGGAUACCAAAAUUUGGGACACCAAAACUUGGUACGCCUCCAACCCAGCCACCACCACCUCCUCCUCCGCCUCCAUUGCUAAUGCCCCCAUUAUUGCCAUUUCCACUUCCACUGCCACUCCCACUUCCAUAACCACCAGCAGAUCCAACUACCGGGGCACCACCAAAAGUCGGGGUGCUCACAAAACCGCCCCCGCCUCCCCCUCCACCUCCAUUACUUAAAACGUGGCCGUUCCAUGCAUGCUCAGUAUCAGUAAUGUCCUCCAUGCUGCGAACGAUGCGGUCUUGGUUGGUUCCAGCCUCAUUAGGAAGAAUUCUGUGUGCAGAACACAGGACCAAGCUUAGAAAUGCAAGGAGUGCAACAUGGGAGCAUUUUAAUGUAGCCAUUUCUUGAUAUUAUAAUUAAGUGAUUCGAAUGAUAUUUUCACUGUGAAUACAAAGCUUUAUAUAGUGAAAGGUCUGCUACAAAUUGCAUGGUUUUAUCAUUUAUGUUGGACAAAUUCAUAGAACAAGGAAGUGGUUGAGGAGAAGUGCAAAUGUGCAAGGAAUUGGGAUUACUUCACACAAUCUGAAUUGAAUAAUUAUUCAUCAAAUUGAGGAAAAUGAAAUUUGUGUGAAAACCAUAGCAUUUUGCUCCGUUUUCUGGCACUAUAUGCUUUUGUUAACUCCUAAACUGGAGAACAUACAUAAGACUGAGAAGACAUAUCGCCUGUUUAAAUUAAUUUUUGAUUUAGAACAUACAUGAGACUGAGAAUCUUCACUCCUAGAUAUAUGAUUUGUGGAGUCCUGAAUUAAUUUUUGAUUCUUGUACCUCAUUAACCUAUUCAAAUUUUGUGAUUGUGAUAUGCAUUUUGAGGAAGCAUUGAAUUGCUUAUAUUGAGUUAAGAAAAUUGUUCAAAGUCUAGCGAAGUAUCUAUUAUGCUUUAUUCGAGGACGAACAAAUGUUCAAGUUUGGGGGAGUUUGAUAAGGUUAAAAUUUACACUUAUUAAAGCCACCAAAAGUGACUUUUGUUAAUUUUAUUAUGAAAUUGAUACUUAAUUAUAUGUGUUUUUAUUAUAUUAGGGGAAAACUCAAGAUCGGAGAAAAUAUUGAUCAAGAUGGAUGUAAUUGAAUAAAAUCUGCAAUUUUGGGAUCAAAUUCCACGCUUUAGAAAUUGAAGGACUUGAAGUGAAGUAAAGUAAAGAAAGAUAUGAAUUAGCACAACUAAUUGGACUUAAGGACUAAAGUGCAUUACAUAGAAAAUUGAGACCUUGGGAAGCAAGCACAAAUUAGUUGGGCCUAGAAAAAGGGAAUGGGGGUUUCAUUUAAAAAGCCUAGUCAAACAAAACAUUAGUUUAAAAAAUCCACAAACUAAGUUCUUUGGGUAAAAGGCCUAAAGAUAUGGAAAAUGAAAAUAUAAUUUGUAAAUUACUAAAAUGACCUUACAAACAAAAAAGACAUUGCUGCCCUAAUUCCCAUUUCAAUUUCCAUUUAACCCUAAUUAAAUUCUACCUUCCUUCCAUUUGCUCUUCAAAAUCGGCUGUAGAGGUAUGUAAUUUGUUUUUUUGUCAUCAUCAUUUUUCUCUACUUAAUGAAACCUUAAACUCUACAUUCCAUUUUCCUUGAACACUCAUUUGGUUGAAGUAAGUAAUAAAAUCUUGCAAUAUCAUUGUUGGGCAUUUGGAGAAGAAGGGGGUGUUGUAAUUUUCAAUUUUUUUGUUAGUUUCUUUGUCCAUUUUUUGAAUAAUUUCUUCAUGUCGUUGUAUAUAUAUUUAUGAUUUUUAUUUGAGAACAAUGAUUUUGAAUUAAUUUUAUCAUUAGAUUAGAGUUUUGAUAUGGGUUGCUCUCAAACCCUUUUUCUCAUUUCUCAUCAUCUUUAUCAGUUAGAAUAAAAUGUAAGUUUGCAAAGGCAUGUUUGGCUAUUCUUUUUAUUAACUUACAUUUAAUUUUCGUCAGUACAUAACAACUUACAUGUUGUUUUUUGCAAUCCAUAACGACUUACAUAUCGUUAUCAGUACUGUACACUGUUUGAAAUGUGAUGAAAUUUUUAUAUUGAAUUAUAGUUAUGGACACCGUGAAUAUGGUAUGGAUAUCAGUUUGUUUUCCAGUUGAAUAUGAGUAGUCGAUUGAAUGUGUUUUAAAAUGAAAAUAUGCAGGGAAUGACAAAUAAAAACAACUCAUAUUCUUGUUGCGAAAAUUAUUUCUUAUAUGGAAUUAUAUGAUAAAGUCAAAGAGGUGUUGAACAUCAAUUCACAACUUUUUCGGAAUUUAAUUGGAAAAAUCGAAUGAUUAAAUAAUCUAUUCACAACUUCAAAUGGUUACGAGUACAGUCAUAAGAUAUCGGUGGAUUAUAUGUUUUUAUUCCCAAAUAAGAUGGAAUAAACCAAUACCUUGAAAUAGAAACCAAUACCUUGGCUUUGUUGGAGCAUACUUUUUUAUUAUUUCAUUUAUAUUUAUAAUGGAUAAUUGAUUUGGAAUUAUUUCCUGCAAAUUACAUAAUCAUCGUGUGUGUUAUCUUGCUCAUUUACUUGCUUUCAAUAUAAAGAUUCAGAAACUUGGAUGUUUACUUUGUGAUUUCGUACUGCAGCUCUCUUGAGAGACAUGCUUAAUCAACUUUACUCUAAGAGGAAUUGAACAUAGCAGGUCAAAUAUUAUGUCAGCGCUUCCAAUCCUCAACCCAAAGAAAAAUGGGAAACGUCGUUUUUUUUCCUUUUUCUUUAGGUGCUACUGCUGGUGACUUUUUUACAUAGAAAUAAUUGGUCCAGCAUUUUAAGCAAUUUAUUCCUUUAAUUUCAUCAAGAUGUAGGUCGAAAGUGUGUGUGUAUAUGUGUGUAGGAUAAAAACUAUAAUGUAAUGGCUGGCUUAUAUGCUAGGUGAACUUCUUGGUUUAUCAUCAUAAUUCAUAAUCCAAGUUCAUAAGUUUGUGACAGUGCUGAGAUUAUAAAUUAUCAAAAUUAUUCAAUGGAUCCAUAAAGACUAUAUUAAUCGACCGUUCAUUUUUCUUUUUAUAAUUUUUUUCCAAAACAUUCUUGCUUCUUGAAGUUCUCGAGUAAUAAUCGUCUGAGAUUAAGGUUGUAAUAUUUUCCUGACUUGUAACUUUAUAAUUUUGUGCUUAUUCAAAGCACAAGAUGAUUUAUUAAAUUUUGUAAUCAUUGUGCUAUUGAAAUGCUUUUGCACUAUUGAAAUGCAAACGACGUUCAUAUAGUUACAAUUGAUGUAAAUGCAAUCAAUCUAAUGACGAUAUAUAUUUUCUUCCUUCUGAAACAAAGUGUUUAAGAUUGUUGUGGUACAAAAAUGUAUUAAUUUUAAUUAUGAAAUUGAAGUCGUUCUUGAAGCACAAAACGAUAUAGAUGUCGUUCAAAUAAAAAAAAAUAUAGUGAAUAACAUAACGAUAUUGAAACCGUUCCUGUAAUAAAAAACGAUUUCUAUAUCGUUUCAGUAUGAAAUACACACUGCUUAACUUAUUUUGGUAAUGACAUCAAAGUCGUUAUGACUAUACAUAAACGAUAUGUAAGUCGUUCUAGCACAAAAAUGCAUUCAUUCUAAGAAUGAAAAGGAAGUCGUUCCUGAAAGUCAAAACGAUAUAGAUGUCUUUCCAAUAAAAAAGUGCACUGAACAACGUAACGAUAUUGAAGGCAUGACGGAUAGUUGUGGAUGGUCAAAUCUACUUUUAGCUAGAACGAUAUAAUUAUCGUUUUAUAUGAAAAGAAACGGUAUCUAUAUCGUUAUACUUGUAAUUUAAAUUGAAACGAUUUCAAACUAUUCAAAUUUGUACUAAAACGAUAUAAAUGUCGUUACUUUAUUUGUGAUUUUAUGCAUAACGAUAUCAAUAUCGUUUUAAUACAAGUUUGACGCCGUUGAUAUCAUUUUAGUUUAAAUCAUAACUAAAACUACACGCAUAUCGUUUCAGUUAAAAUAAAACGAUACUUAUAUCGUUUUUGCUAAAAAUAAUGAUUCGACCGUCCACGACCACCGAACAUACAUCUGACAUAUGUAGGAUGAUCAAAAUAGGUAAUCAAGUGGGUUCGAUCUCCCUUAAAAGAAACUAUGAGAACAUUUUUGUUCUCAUGAUUGUAUACNNNNNNNNNNNNNNNNNNNNNNNNNNNNNNNNNNNNNNNNNNNNNNNNNNNNNNNNNNNNNNNNNNNNNNNNNNNNNNNNNNNNNNNNNNNNNNNNNNNNNNNNNNNNNNNNNNNNNNNNNNNNNNNNNNNNNNNNNNNNNNNNNNNNNNNNNNNNNNNNNNNNNNNNNNNNNNNNNNNNNNNNNNNNNNNNNNNNNNNNNNNNNNNNNNNNNNNNNNNNNNNNNNNNNNNNNNNNNNNNNNNNNNNNNNNNNNNNNNNNNNNNNNNNNNNNNNNNNNNNNNNNNNNNNNNNNNNNNNNNNNNNNNNNNNNNNNNNNNNNNNNNNNNNNNNNNNNNNNNNNNNNNNNNNNNNNNNNNNNNNNNNNNNNNNNNNNNNNNNNNNNNNNNNNNNNNNNNNNNNNNNNNNNNNNNNNNNNNNNNNNNNNNNNNNNNNNNNNNNNNNNNNNNNNNNNNNNNNNNNNNNNNNNNNNNNNNNNNNNNNNNNNNNNNNNNNNNNNNNNNNNNNNNNNNNNNNNNNNNNNNNNNNNNNNNNNNNNNNNNNNNNNNNNNNNNNNNNNNNNNNNNNNNNNNNNNNNNNNNNNNNNNNNNNNNNNNNNNNNNNNNNNNNNNNNNNNNNNNNNNNNNNNNNNNNNNNNNNNNNNNNNNNNNNNNNNNNNNNNNNNNNNNNNNNNNNNNNNNNNNNNNNNNNNNNNNNNNNNNNNNNNNNNNNNNNNNNNNNNNNNNNNNNNNNNNNNNNNNNNNNNNNNNNNNNNNNNNNNNNNNNNNNNNNNNNNNNNNNNNNNNNNNNNNNNNNNNNNNNNNNNNNNNNNNNNNNNNNNNNNNNNNNNNNNNNNNNNNNNNNNNNNNNNNNNNNNNNNNNNNNNNNNNNNNNNNNNNNNNNNNNNNNNNNNNNNNNNNNNNNNNNNNNNNNNNNNNNNNNNNNNNNNNNNNNNNNNNNNNNNNNNNNNNNNNNNNNNNNNNNNNNNNNNNNNNNNNNNNNNNNNNNNNNNNNNNNNNNNNNNNNNNNNNNNNNNNNNNNNNNNNNNNNNNNNNNNNNNNNNNNNNNNNNNNNNNNNNNNNNNNNNNNNNNNNNNNNNNNNNNNNNNNNNNNNNNNNNNNNNNNNNNNNNNNNNNNNNNNNNNNNNNNNNNNNNNNNNNNNNNNNNNNNNNNNNNNNNNNNNNNNNNNNNNNNNNNNNNNNNNNNNNNNNNNNNNNNNNNNNNNNNNNNNNNNNNNNNNNNNNNNNNNNNNNNNNNNNNNNNNNNNNNNNNNNNNNNNNNNNNNNNNNNNNNNNNNNNNNNNNNNNNNNNNNNNNNNNNNNNNNNNNNNGAAUAGUUCUUAUUAAUUACAAGCUUUAAAAUGAGUACAAAUCGAUAUACUGCAUCGCUUUUUAUUAAAAUCUAAUUAUUGGACUUUAAAUAAGAUAUAAAUUUAAAAAAUAUUUUUUUCUCCAUUUUUUUUCCAAAAUAUAACGAUAAAUUUAUUUUAAAAAAUUUCGUGUGUUAUAAUAUGUGUCUAAUAAAUAAAUGACUCAAUAAUUAUUUUCGACUAGUUGUUAAGUUGUGGACAAUGUUAAAACUUUGGUUGCACUGGAGAUCAAUUACGAAAAAGAGAUGACCUGAAACUUAAAAAGAAGAGUUCGAAUUCUAAGGAGAAGAUGAUUUUGAAGAGGAAGAUUUUUUGAAUAUAAAGGAAGGGAAUGUUGUGUGUGUUAGAACAUGAAUGCAUAGUUAUUAGAGCCAACCCGAUGAUCAACUAAAAAAAAUUACCGGGUUAAUGGUUCAAUCGGUGGGUUAUUGUUAAAUUUUAAUUUUAAUUAAAUUUUAUUUUUGAAGUGAGAAUAAAACAAUUUUUUGAAAUGUAAUAUAUAUAUUUUGCUCAUAGGAAACAAAGAACCAUCAUUUGCCAUAAUGGUUGUGGAGUUAAAAUAUUUUCUUGCAUUCCAAGGUUCAAGUCAUGGCUCCAACAAAUUUAGAAAAAAACUCCAAUUUCUUCUUCAUUUUUGUUUUACAAGUUAAGGGUAAAGAAGUCUUUUGACACUUUUAAAUAAUUAAAACUCCUUUUAUUUUUAUAAGUUUGGUCAAAGGCCAAUUGAACAAAAUGCACAUUAAAGGGGCCUUCCCAACUCAUUGCCCCAAAGGGAAUGUGAAUUGAAGUCAAAUCCUAAUAGUAAUAGACUUCUACAGAGAGCUGGUGGCAGAUUAGUGGAAGAACGCCACCUAAACUGAUAUUAUAGCACCAGAGUAUUAGAUAGCAUUAUUCUUAAUCAAUUGGGGAAGAGUGAGAAAUCUUCUUUUUUGGACUAAAAAAAGUUGACGGCAAUUAAAAAAAAAUUUAAAAAGAAAAAAGCAAUAAACGAGAGGUACAGAUGGCAGACGCGAAAAAUUGGAAGAAAUAAUUCCAUAUUUUUGUAGAUAAAUUCAUCAAUUAUUGUGCAAGAAUUUUAAGAAUUAAUCACGUUUCAUCAAUUUGUCGGGAGAUUCAUAAUACUCAAGAAAGGAAAUGAAGAAAUAUUGGUGGGAUUCGAGAGGCAUGGAUAGCAGGCGCCGAAAGUUGGAAGAAAAAUUAGGAAAAAUAAUUCCAAAAUUUGUACACCAAUUUAUUGAUAAUUGUGCAAGAAUUUUGAGAAUUAAUCACGUUCCAUCAAUUUGCCGAGAGAUUCAUAAUAUGAAAGGAAGGAAACGAAGAAAUAUUAUUAGGAUUUGUUUGGUGAAGAUCAACAAUAGUUUGGAAUGAAUUUUAUUUUGUUUAUUGGAAUUAAACCCAAUGAUGUCGUUUAACUUUUAUUUGUUUUAUUUCAACGUUAUGAAUGAUUAAAAAUUUUUAUGUUAGGAUAAUGAUGUAGCUUAGGGUUUUUGACAUUUAUUCAUUUCCAAGAUUUCAUAUCACUUUAAUACGUGUUUAUUAUUUAAUAUUUAUUUAAUAAUUCAAUUGCAUGGACCAAUUUGAUUGAUUUAAAGGUAGUAUUGAGAACGAGAGGUGAUGUAUGAUUCUAGCUCGGGUAAUUGAUAAGUGUAUUUUCUACAUUUAUUUGAAUAUAAAAAUAUAGAUAUUUAAUAGUUCUUUUGAACAAUUAUAGCCUACUUUAUUGUAUAUUUUGUUUAUUAGAUGAAACUCGAUGAAUGGAAGUAAAAUGGAAAAAACGAAGUGAAAAUUGGUGAAAAAGAAUAAGAUCCAAAGUUUGAGGACUGAACAGCAAAAACACUCAUGAGUUGUAUCUGACCUCACAAUAAAGAUUUUAGAAUGCUAAAGGUCAAUUCAAUGCAAUUAGAAGUCAAAAUGACUAAAAUAUGAUCAAAAUAUUUUCAUAAAUAGAUUUUAUACAGCACAAGAACGUUCCAAAUUUUUAGCCGAACAUUCAGACCUAUUUUGGCCCAGUAAACGUUCAAAUUGGAAAAGAGCUACAUAUAGUAACACUGUAGCACUUUCAGUUAUCUUUACAACCCAAUUUGAAUCGACUUAAUUGGAUAUCGACAAAAAAGGUUAUAAAAAAAAAUACUUAAGGAUGCAUAAUGCUGAUUUUUUUACCCCAUGAUGGUGCCAAAGCGCCACCAAAUUGCAUAAUAUUAAAAGUGUAAAUACUCAAAAGUUAUGUCAGGCCUCACAAUGAAAAUUUUAGAAUGUUAGGGGUCAAUUCAAUGCAAUUAAAAGUCAAAAGGAGAAAAAUACGAUCAAAACAUUUUCACAAAUUGAUUUUCUACAGUACAAGGAUGUUCCAAAUUUUUAGCCAAAAAUUCAGACCCAUUUUUGACCUAGCAAACCUUCGAAUCAGAAAAGAGCUACUUAUAAUAAAACUGUAGCCCUUUGAGUUAUCUUUAUAAUUCAAUUUGAAUAAAAUUAAUCGGAUAUCAACAAAAAAGGUUAUAAUAAAAAUACUCAAGGAUGCGCAGUGCUGAUUUUUUUUAUCUAAAAGUUGGCUACAUCAUGGCGCCAAAGCGCUACCAAAUUGCGCAAUAUAAAGUUGUGGCGCUUAUCUGGGAUGCGGAUUUUGGCCUUUUUAAAGCACAUAAAACUCCAAAUUCGAUGAAAACAUGGAAGCGCUUAUAAAUACAAUAGAGGCAAUUGAAAGUAGUUUCACACAUUGAAAUACAUAAGAACGUAAUUUGCGAUUGAGAGAGCAAAAUCAAAUAAGAAAAACAAGAAAUCAAGAGCUAGGGCUUGGAAUCAAUAUUUGAGACGAGAUGAAUUUGAUGCAUGAUUCAUUCACUUCUCCACAUAUCCAUUCAAAAUUCGAUGAUGUACUUCAUUAUUGUUAAUUAUUUUUCUUCAUCUAUCAUAAAUAUCUACGCUUUUCAUAAGGGUAAACAAUGUAAUUUAUUGAGACCCUUUAUUCUUUUAUUCAAGAUUCAAGUUCUUUUAUUGUAUAUGUGUGGAUUUUUAUUAUGUAUUUAAUGCUUUGAAUUAUGAAUACUAAUUCAAUGAUUUUGUGAAUUUACAUAUCGAGAGGUGAGUUUUAGAUUUAAACCACAUAUUAAAAUAUAAAUAUUUAAUGUAACAUAUGGAGAUACCUAUACUAACUAUUGCGAUUGUUAUAUGAAUUUUUAGAACAAAUAGUGCAUUUAAUUAAGAUUGAUUACAUAGAGAUAUGUGAUCGAAUUAGUUAAAUAAACUCAAUGAGAACUCGAUAUGGAUAAAUUGAAUACAAUUGAAGAAUUCGAUUGAACACUAAACUAUAUUUAUGGAUCUUGAAUUAAGAUUUAAAGGUAAGCAAUAGAUGAAAUUGUUAUGCCAUAAUAUCAAUUCCAUAUUUGAAUUUUCGACGUACCUUUGUGUGCAUAUUACUAUUUCAAUUAAUUAGAAGUAGUUAGAAAAAUAAUCAACACAAUCACAAUUCAUGUUUGGUUUUGUCAAAAGAAAUAGUAAACUAAAUAUUGAAUUAUAGUUCUCGUGUGAACAAUAAUCUAGACUCAAAGGUCCGCUAUAUUACUUGUUAUGAUAUCAUACGCUUACGAUGGAAAAAUGCAAAGCAAUCAAUACAUAGGUGUUUCAGGAGAUCGAGAGAUAAUUAUAUAUUAUGCAUUCUGUAUAGAAUUCUUGUAGAUUAAAAUGUUCAUAUGUGUGUGAAUUUACAUAGAGAUAUAGUAAACCGGGCAUAUGAAUAAGAUUAGUGUUAGUUGAAAGAGAUCACGAGUUACAUUAGGUUAAUUUAAUUGUUAGCACAUAUAAAACGGGGUUGAGUGAAUUAAAAUUCGAUGAACAUUAAAACAACUUAAGUGAAAUAAAAAUUCCUAACUACCUAAUCUCAUAAGCUUCUUAGCUAUAUUUAAGGAGGUCAUCUUAGUUAUUUUAGUUAAGUUUAUUUACAAAACACAUCUUAAAUUGAUAAUUGUUUACUCGUUUGAUUUAGAUUGAAGCUACGUUUGUUCAAAACACAUCUCAUAUCUUGCUUGCAAUCACAAAAUCCAUGUGGUAUCAAAGCCCCAAUCCAUGAAUACUUUGUUUUAUGGCAUAAAGGAAAAAGUAUUGGAACUUUUUUUGAACUCUAGACUACAUAGAAAGCAUCUUCACUAUCACGGAUUAAUAUUCGGUAUUCUUCUGGCAACUUUAUGCAGUGUUGGAUCAAUAUCAAAUUUGAGUUAUCGUAUUUGUUUGAGUUAUUAACGUGUUGUUUGUCAGUUGUUGGUUGUUCAUUGGACUCUUUUAUGAUGGUGGGUACAAGGUAUGAUUCGCUUCAAUCACUUAUAAGUAUGAAUAUUCAUAUAACACAUGUAUUUUCAAUAGACGAGAACGAGGUGGCAGUGAGGACUUGACUCCAAGCAAGGCAAUAGAAGCCGACUCACUGAAGUUGAAGUGACAAAGAUAUAGACUUUUUAGGCUCUAACAGUGAGGCUCUGCUCAAGGUGGCGGUAGAGAUAUUUGAUAAGUGCGUUUUACACAUUUAUUUUGACUAAAAAAAUGGACAAUUGUUGAUGAAUAUGUUGAAAUAUGGCUUGAUUUUAUAUAAAUUAUGUUUUGUAUGACAACAUUGAUGAAUAUGGCGAAAACUAGGAAAAAUAAGCGAAAAAGAACCAAAAUUGAAGAAAACCAAAGUUCAGGGACCAAAGUGUAAAUAGUUGAAAGAUGAUCCGAAAGCAUAAAUGAGAAUGUGAAAGAGCAAAGACCAAAUUGGUGAAGACAUGAAGUGUCGGAAGAAGAAAAAAUGAUAAAAGAGGUUAAGAAACAAGAAAACGGAGUUCGAGGACUAAAAUGCAACUUUUGGAAGUUUGCCAAUACUAUGUAGUCGCAUAGAAGGAUUCUCCAUGUAGUUGCCUGCCUAUUUUCAGAGACUUGAAGGCUUGAUUUUUAAUGAACUAUGCUAUAGCAUUGAAUUGUACUUCGUUAUAAAUCUGGUUUCCUUAUAUGAUUUAAAUUCGUAUGGAAACAAAUCUUUGGACAUCUUUUAAAACCCAAAAGCUGUCCAAAAGUGUUGAUUACACAUUCUAACAUAUUCAUAGGGUUUUAGAGCAUAGAAGGAGGCAAGGAACGCAAAAAUUGAUUUGAAGACCCAAUGAUUCAAUUGAAGAUUUAAAUUUGUGAUGUUGUUUCUUUAAUACUCUUUUGUUUUCUUCUUUCUAACAUGUCAGGCUAGAUUUAUUCGUACUAGAAGAACAAUAAAAGAAUAGCAUGACUUUUUAAUCUUUAAUUUUACAUAGUUGAUCUCAAAAACAUGUUUUGAAUAUUGAAUGGUUUAUAUGAAUUUCUUUUUUUCACGAUUAUUAUGCACGGUAAUUGUGUGAAUAUGUUGGCUUAUUUUAUGCAUUAGAAAAAAGGAAAAUACACUCGACAUGGUAUAAAUCAUCAUACAGUCCGAUAAAGGAUAUAGAUCUAUCGCUAUGUCUUAGAUGAAUCGUUAAGUGUUCAUAAAAAUUCAUGCAUUCUUGUAUGUUAGCAUCCAUCAUAGAGAUAUAAUUGGAUCAUAUAUGAGAAUAUAUUUAAUAUUACUCGAGAGAAAUUGUUGAAUAUAAUAGGAACAUUGAUUCUUUUUUUUUUUUUUUUUUGGAUAUCCAAGUAUCCCAGCAUACACUAGACUAAAUCCUGGACCCUCAAGAUCCUUGCCCCUAGAACCUUGAAGGGGGUAAAUCACGUGUUAUGCCUCAACUGGAUCACAGGUUCCCCCCAUCGCCUGUACACUUCUGCGCACAAGAGAUCCUCCUCCAAAGUGAUUGUUCCAUACCAAAUAAAUCUGGCUGCAGGUUCCCACCAAAAUUCGAACCUCCACCCUGCCGCUGGAAGCAAGACAAAUGUUGAUUGAUCCACAGAACAUUGAUUCUUCAAUAUACAAUAUGUUGUCAAAGUGUAAAACUAAGACUAAAAAGAGUUAUUACAUGGGAAUUCAUGAUCCUGGUACCUGUGUCAUUCAUCAAAUACAACAAUUUGCAUUAAACAUAAUUUGUAUUUAGUUUAGUUAAUUCUUAUUACUCUUGUUUCGGUUAAAAUCGCGGUAAUAAAAGUCAAACUAAAUCAAUCUCUGUGGGAUCAUAUUUGGACUCAAAAUUUACUUUAUUAUUUGUUAACGAAUCGUAUACUUACGAUGAUUUAAAUCAAAAUAUAUUUUCGCAGAACAAUGCUGCCUUCCGAAAUAGCCAAAGCUGCCACUGACUUCAACAAGCCGGACUACGUCACUCAGCGUGAUGCCGUUAACCUACUCGAGACACAGGUGGGCAAGGCAAUUUGUGUAACGUAGAGACUAUUCCUCUGGGAGUUGUUUUUGACAAUUGUUUUGUUUUAACAAGGAUAGGACAUCACAACACUUUCCACAAGAUAAAAGAAAUUGCGAGUUUGGGACAGAAUACGAGUAAAUAAGUGAUAAAGAAAUUUUGAAACUCUUGCUGGUUCCUAACAGACGUUAUUCUCACGGAACCUCUGUAUGAAUCAGUUGUGCAAUGUGUACAACUGGGGUUGACAAUGGGAGGGAGGCCCAUACUGAAUAAAAAAAUCGUGGACCCCCCUCUUGCGAGUAUAUUGUCAGCAGUAGUUGUCAACCGCGGUUGUACAAGAAAAUAAUUCCUGUAUGAAUAGUACGCUUCCACUCGUGAAAGAUACAAUAUUGACCAUCUGAUCCAACUGACUGAAUGGUCUUUAACAGUAAAUACUUUCCCCUUUCGUUUCUUACAGAGAAUGUGGUAAAUUGUGUGCUACCGAUGAAUUUGUUUAACAUUGGAUCUAGAUCAGAGCAUAAAAAUGAAGAACAAUGGAUAAGAAAUUACUGCAGAGAAGUAGAUAAGAUCAUAUAUACACUAUUGCAUCAAUAUAUAACUAGUUAUACACAUGGGAUCAAGAAAGGUUAGCGAAAACUCCUAAUAUAAAACUAAAAUAGAACAAGGCACAAAAGGAACCAACACAAGAGAAAAAUCGAAACUCUGCCGAGAGAUUUGUUAGCCUGUAAUUGCUGCCUUCUUAAUCCAGGAGAACUACUUCCCACCAGGUGGUACGAGUUAGGAUACCAGUAUAAACUCUCUGAAUUGCCAAAAACUCUGGCAUAAACCAUCUCUCCAAACAUCCCUAUCGUGGGAUGUGAAAGAUCAAUUGGAGACGAAGUAUCUCCUUCUACGUUACUGGAAUAAGGAUCAGAUAAAUUACGUCGAUUUUGAUGAUCGGGAUCUUGUAUGGCACGAGCUGUUGGCCUAGGCGGUAUAUUCUUGAUCUUGUGUUCGGUUUCCGAGAGGCAAUUGCCCCGGCCAUAGAGAGGGACCAUCGUUUUUUCCGAUAUUUCGGUUUUGCAAACUGGGCAUCUGGGUAGGUUCUUGUCUGAAUCAAGGGAAGCAAUCUGAAACCAGUUGUAGAUGCAGGGCCAACAGUAGAGAUGGCCACAAAGGGUAACUACAGGAUCAGACACAAAUUCCAAACAGAUGCUGCAAUCAAAGUUAGGAGAAGUCCUUUCAGAGUCGGGAAUGGAUUUCCAUUCCUGCAUAAAAUAUUGCUCAAAUGCCAUGUUUCUUUUGAUCUCUGAGAAGAAAAGAUAUUAAGCAAAAUAUGAUGGUACUUGCUUAUCAAGACGGCUAGAUUCUUGAUUGUUUCCUGUCGAUCAACAGAGUUACUGGCACAAACAACAGAUUGAUUCUAUGGAAGUACUAUUUGUGAUUAUUCAACAAAUACUUGGAACAUGAUAGAUUUAGAAUCUGUGUGCGCGAUGGAGAGAUAUUUGUGCAAGAGUAGAUUAGGUCAGGUGGGAAAAUAAACGUUGAGAUGGUUUUAUUUUAUAGAUGGGGCGCAUAAAAAUUCGAACCAUGUUACGUGUACUCGAUUUUUUAUUAGUUGAUGAAGAAAAACACAAAAAAUAGAUUGAAUUAAAUGCCGUGUUGAAAUAGAUAUGUCUGUGAAGAUGCGGACUACAUGCGACCCUAUAAAGCUUCACUGUUCCUGGUGGGCACUUGGCAGCAGGAUAUUUUUUCCCUCUACAUAUGGUUUUGGCCUAAAAGUUGGGUAAAUUGGCAGGCCUGUCGAGUGGGUGAUGCAGUAUGUGCUUGUGGGCCAACCUUGCUAUAUAAAGGGCUCGUUUGAGACACAUUAUUUCAAAAAAUAUAUAUUUUUAAACAGUGAUUUGACAUCAUUUCAACUACACAUUUUUCAAUAAAAUAAUAUUACACACAAAUCAAAAACUUUUCCUUAUUUUUUAACCAUACAUUUCUCAUCAAUACACUAUUCAAAAAUGUAUUAUUACCAAAAUAAUGUGGCCUAAACACCCCCAAAUAUUAUAAACAUUCGGGUCCUUGACUCAUCUAAAUUUUAUAUAUUUGGUCCCACGUCAUCAAAGACGUGGAUAGCAAUUUUGGUUGCACAUCUUUAAAAGAGUUAAAGACUCGGAACCUCACUUUUAAAGACAUGGAAACUCAUAACAAAACUAUAUAAAAGUUAGAGUUCAAUUCUAAUUUUUCUUACUAUUUUCAUAUAUAAUUUUACCAGUAUUCUAAACAAUAUAAAACGUUGGUCGAUAGUAAGACCAAGAUUCAAACUUUUAGGAGCUUUAACAAGCUUUGACGUAAAAUUAAGUAUAGAUAGAUGACAGCCCCCCAGGGCACAUUCGAGUUGGUGGAUCAAUCACAUUUGGCGCGCUCGCAACCUCAGCGUGGAACCUUUGAUCCAAUAAAGGGGCAAUUUAUUGGUGGAUUAAUCACUAUGGAGGAAAGCUCUCUUGAGGCCAGGAGUUUAGAUCGGGUGGGAACCUGUGAUCCAACAAGAGCACAACCUACGGUUUAUCUCCGCUAGUCACUGAGGGGCCGGUGGCUAGGGGUCCAGGAUUUAGUCUGGCGAAGCUGGGACACCUGGGUAUAAAAAUAAAAAAAUAUAAAAAAAAAAAAGUAUAGAUAGAUGACAAGACCAAAUGAGCUCCUUAGAAUACUAUUUUACCAUUAACAUAUAAUAAAAAAAUAGAACCUAGAUUACGAAUUUAUUCAAUUAUUUAAAAAUCACUUAAUUUUAGGUUACUAUCAUCUGUAAUUCAAAAUUUUCAUAUGAUUAGUGGUGAACAGGGAUGUCAAUUAGUCGAAUCAAGCCGGCUCGUGAGUCAAAAUUCGAGGCUCGAGUUGAAUUCAAAUAAAAUUAAGUCAAGUUUUUUUUGCUCGAGCUGAACUGAGCUAAAGUUUAGCCAAAAAUUCGAGGCUCGACUCGAGUUUUGAACUCGGGUCUUAUCGAGCUUAGUUGGGUUGGCUUGAUUUUUAUUAUUAUUAUUGUAAUACAUAGGCUGCCGUGUGCUGCCUAUUUAAAGAUAGUUUGCCCUUUCUUUCUCGAGCCAGUCCAACGAGUUAAAUUACCAUUCCUAGUGAUGAAUACAAGAUAUUAAAACUUUAAUUUGUCAUUGUAUAAAGUGUAAAUUGAUCGCACUGGUCAAAUUUUACAUUUGAAUGUUAUGAAUUUAUCAUUACUAAAUCUCGAUAAAGAAACUUCAUCUUCUAGUGUAAAAGUAGAAGACAGAAAAGUGAAAUGGAUUUGCACAAAUCAAUAGUAGCUUUCAUUUAAAUAAAAGCAAUCAACAGUGUCGGCCUUUGGACACAUUUUGUCAAUUUUUCAAAUGAUGUUAACAUAUUCCACGCUGAAUGACUUUUUAUUGCCUUCUAGAUUCACAUUACCGACAAUUCAUCAAGCUGCUCUUCUAGAUUAAUUAAUUAUUACAUCUUAUUUCAUAUCCACCUAGAAAGAGAAAUGACUCCUGCACAGAUCAUGUGCUGUGCUCUAUUGCACAGGGUUUGUACAGAGCAUCUCACAUGGAGGAUGGACACCACAUGUGUGUGUCUGUACAGGCUCCGUGCAGCAUUUCUCACCCAGAAAUAGUAAAAGAAAAGAAUAUUUUAGUAAGAUAAUGUUUGGUAUGGAUUUUAAUCCAAUUAACAUUAAUUUUUUAUCGUUAUUUCACUAUUCUAGCCAUUAUUUUUGAAUUUUUUUCUUACAGGUACAACCCACUUUAUCUCUAACGGUCAAAAAAUCAAUUAACAAAAUCCCCACCAAACAAGCACUAAAUAUUGUGAUUCCCAUUCUAAAAUUGAAAAUCGUGAAUUAUUAACUAACUGAAAAUUUUAUUUAUACUUGAAAUAUGAAUUUGUCACUUGAUGGGUGAAUAACUUCAUAGCGUAUCUUUAAAAAACUCUAUAAGAUAUAAUCUAUUUUAAAGAGUUAAUAGUUAAAAUAAGCUGCAGGAACUCAAAAUUUUAACUUUCAAAAUAGAACGUGUUCGUCUCUCCAUUCUUACUUUAUGAUUAUUUCGUUUAACAAGAUAAAAAUUAUAAUACUCCAUAUAAAUAGUAUAUUAAUUAAAGGAUAAGAAGAAAUUAUUAAAUAUUUCUUGAAAAAAUAAAAUGAAGAUUCCAAUAAAGAGAAUUGUUACAAAUAUUUAAAAAAAAAAAUACUUACUAAAUUGUUCUCUAAUUAUUCGUGAUAACAACUCCAAUGUCACAAUGUGCAAUGUUUUACGUGUGACAAACAAAAUGGGAAGCAAGAAAAGAGCACUUUCAAUGGGCUGUGAAUUGCACUAAUUUUAAGUUAUUUAUCGUAGAAAAAGAAUAAAGAUAAAUAAUAAAAAAUUAAAUGAGCAUAUAAUUAUAAAAAUGAAUUAAUCGAAAAAUGUCUAACGUGCUCUCCACAAGGUGGAAGGUGUGCUGACGAUGUUCACAUUUUUAUUUAUAUAUUUAUGUUUUUGCCAUGUAUUUAUUUUGGUAUGAAAUGACAUGCUUAUUGUAGCAAUCCAUAUAUUGAAGAUAUUAAUGCGGUAGUUAUAGCCUUUAUGACAUUUCUAUGUAUAAUUAAUAAUUUUAGGCGAAGAGGGCAACACUAUUAUAUCAUAUAAACUAAUUUCUUCUAGAAGCCAAGAAAUAAUAAAUAACUUUAAUUGACACAUGGACCAUAGCUAAUUUCAUAAUUCAAUCUAGAAAAAAUCCAUACAUGUGCAAGUAGUACGGUGCAUUUACCGUCAUUUUUGGGCUCAAAACCAAUGAAAAAUUGUCAAGUGUCAAUAUAUAAAAAUUCCGUCAAAUAUUUUCUGUACUUGUAGUAUAACUCUUCAAUCUAUUGCCUAGGCAUGAUAAAUCUAUCUGUUGAAAUUAAUUUAAUUUUUUUUUUUAAAUUUUUGCGGAGCUUUCACCGACACGAUUGUUGCCAAUUAUAAUUUCUAGUUGAUAUCAGAAGUUGAGUAAGAAAAGUUUGUACAUCUACUCUUACGAAUUAUAUAACUAUUUAUUCGGUGAAGCCUCCUAAGUUCAAUAAUGCAUAGCAUAGCAAGGAAGGAUGGACAUUUUUUGUAGGAUGGGGAUAUGUAAUAUCCAAUUUAGUCCUUGUGUGGAAUAGAUUAAAUUUUGAUUUUAAUUCNNNNNNNNNNNNNNNNNNNNNNNNNNNNNNNNNNNNNNNNNNNNNNNNNNNNNNNNNNNNNNNNNNNNNNNNNNNNNNNNNNNNNNNNNNNNNNNNNNNNNNNNNNNNNNNNNNNNNNNNNNNNNNNNNNNNNNNNNNNNNNNNNNNNNNNNNNNNNNNNNNNNNNNNNNNNNNNNNNNNNNNNNNNNNNNNNNNNNNNNNNNNNNNNNNNNNNNNNNNNNNNNNNNNNNNNNNNNNNNNNNNNNNNNNNNNNNNNNNNNNNNNNNNNNNNNNNCAACGUAAAGUCGGAAUCAAAGAUAUCACGAAGCUUUGAACCAAUUAUUCCAUGUGACAAUAUCGGUAAGAACACACACAUGAGUACCACGUGUUCUCAAGUUCCUCAUGACUCACUUAGCGCUAUUAUGGUCUUGCGAUAAUCCUUUUCAACAAUCUUUUAAGAAAGAUGAGGUGGCACCACCUAAAAUUUCUUUUAGGUGAAAUUCUUUCAAUAUUUUUGUUACUUUUAGAGGUAUUUAUGUUUUAGCACUGAAUUUCAUUAAAAGUUUAAAGCUCAACCCUCAUUUUAGUAACAUCCAACUUUAUUUUAACUAGGAUAGGGUCAUCAUGGAUUUAAAUAAUGCUGCAACUAUUUACAUAUCGAAUAACUUGUUGUUAUCCUUUGAACCCAUUGAUUACUUUUUGAGUAAUGACAGGUAGGGUUUCCAUCAUUGGUAGACCUUUUUAAUUAAGGAGUUCUAACACCAUCUUACUCAAAGUAGACACCACUAAAUCUCUAUCUAGAGGUUUAGUAAAAGGAUCUACUAAAUUUUAAUUGACUUACAUAAUUUAGGGAAAUUAUUUCAUCCUUGAUUAAUUUCCUUAUGUGACUAUGUGUAAGACUCAUAUGUCUAGACUUUCCAAUGUCUACCUCAUUUUACGCUUUUACUAAUGUGACUUGACUAUCACACAUGAUAGGUAUUGAAGACAUAUUCUUCAAUCCCAAAUGGAGCUUAUAGAAGAGAUCUUUAAGUCACUCGGCCUCUUUCCAGGUUUCCAAUAGUGCAAAUUUAGAUUCCAUGGUCGAGUGUGCAUGCUUGUUUUUUUUUUUUUUUACUUCAAAGAAACAACACCUUCUCUUAAAGUGAACAAGCAACCCGAGGUGAGUUUACUUUCACACAUACUAGAUAUCCAACUAGUAUUGGUAAAUCUUUCCAAUACCGUCAGGAAUUUAGUAUAUUGCAGCUUAAGUUCUUGGUUUUCUUUAAGUAUCCAUGAACUCUCUCAAUGGCCUUCCAAUGAUCAUUACUUGGAUUUCUAAUAAACCUACUAUACUAGUCUUUGUGACUUUUAUAUCUAAAAUAGUAUCCACCUGUCCAAGAUCCUUCAUCUUGAAUUUAGAAGAUAGAAAAAUGUUCAUUUCUUCUAUAACGUUCAUGUGAUUACUUAUAAUCAACAUGUCAUCAACAUAUAAGCAUAUAAAUAUUACAUAAUCAUCACACACUUUAGUGUAUAAACAUCUAUCUACGCUAUUAUGUUUAAAUAUGAAUGAUAUUAUUAUUAAGUCAAACUUUUCAUGCCAUUUCUUAGGUGUCUACUUCAAACUGUAUAAUGAUUUUACUAACUUAUGUUCAUUUCCAGGUAGAGCAAACCCUCAGGUUGUUCCAUAUAGACCUUCUCAUUGAGAUCCCCAUUUAAGAAUGCCUUCUUGACAUCCAUUUGAGGAACACGCAAGUUAUGUAUCGAAGCUAAAGCAAAUAAUAUGCUAAUCGAUUAUAUUCUAUCACCAGUGCAUAACUGUCAAAAUAGUCUAUUCAUUCCUUCUGUCGACAACCUUUGGCUACCAAUUUAGCCUUGAAAGUAUUUAGAGUGCCGACAACAUUAUAUUUUCUUCUAAAUACCUAUCUACAUUGAAUAGGUUUGGAUCUCGGUGAUAAAUCAACAAGUUUCCAAAUAUUAUUAAACAUUAUCGAAUCCAUUUCAUCCUUAAUUGCAUCUUUUCUGAAAAUGUUAUCACGAGAAACCAUAACUUCUUUAUAAGUUUCACAUACAGUAUAUGAUUUGGCAAUAAAUACGAUGGACAUUAUGAUCCUCUGUUGCCUCUUCCUAGGUUAAAGCAAAGACUUUGGCUUUCACUUUUUUACCUUGCUCAUUGCAAAAUGACCUUCUUGGCCACAUUGAUAGCACACAUUUUCCCAAAUAAGCGCUUUCCUCCAUGUGCCUUGUUUCAUUUAGGACAUCGUGGAGUAACUUUAUAUGGUUUGCUUGAUCCUGAUCUUGAUCUUGUAUUGGCCUUCUUAAAUUGUCUAAAUCCUUUCCCCUUAUUCGAUCCAUUCUACUUUCGUUUCACAUAUGAUUCAUUAUUUUUCUCUUUUAUCUUAUCCCUUUUUUAGACGAUUAGAAAUUAAUUGAGCUUGCUUAAGCACUUCGCUAUAGGUAGUCGUAUGGUGAGAUGCCAUGAUUCCUCCAAUCUCUGGACGCAAACCUAGUUCAAACCUCCUAGCCUUUUUUGGUUUGGUAUCCACAAGGUGUGUAACAUACCUAAAAAGUUGUUCAAACUUUCUUUCAUAUUCAUCAAGUGACAUAUUUGCUUAUUUCAACUGUAGGAACUUUGCCUCUUUCCGAUCCCUCAGUGAUUGGGGAAAGUAUUUUGUCAUUAAUUCUUUUAACUGCGUUGAAGUCAUAGCGCGUUGUUGUGCUUUAGUUCUGGUGCAUGAUGUAGACUCCCACCAGUGGCAUGCUGCUCCAACCAGCAUAAAUUCAGCACAUGAUACCUUCCGUGCGUCAGUACAUGCCAUGUGUUUAUAGAUUUGUUCAAGCCCUCUCAACCACUUCUUGAAUGCCAAAGGGUUUGUUUUGCCAUCAAAAGAAUGAGAUUUGAAACGGAAAAAUUACUCUGUAAUUGAACUUGUAUUGUUGGCAUUUGUCGGUCCAUUUUGAGGAGGUGCUGUUGCGAAGGCUUGAUUCCUACCAAGGUCAUGUACCGCCCUCAUCAAAUCCAUAAAUAUAGCUGCUUGGUCUUGUUGUCUUACCAUUUCUUUUAAAUCAACAAAAUAAAUUUGUCUUAAAAAUGUUAUACAACAAAAUAGCUCAAUAUAUUCAAAGGAAAUUAAAAUUUUUAUUAAGAUACUCCCUUAAAUUAGGAUAUACAAUAGUUCGACAAAUUUUUAAUAACAUAAAGGAAAAAUAUCACAAUACUACUAAGGAAAUGGAAUCUAAGUUUCUAAUCCCUAUAAAUCCUAUGAAUCUUCUUUAAUGGAGCUUCAUAUUCGGAGAAAUCUUUUGCCUCCGGCCGAACUCUAUGUGCAUCUCGAUUAUUGGCUUAGGUUCAUGCUCGUGAUCAUUCUCUAAUUCCAACCCAAAGUCAUCCCCAUGCUCCUAUUCAAAAUCUUCCUCUGGAUUUGAUUCAGCCUGAGCUUUUAGUUUGGGCUCAAGCUCAGCCUCAUCUUCGAGCUCAUUUACUAUCUCUGGUUGCGAUUUUAAGCUUUCACUCCACCUAUCUAGAAAGGUUUGACAAUAUAUGUCGAACUCAAUUGUGUUUGGGUGCUCUAGAAGGUUAUAUCUUAAAGGAAUAGGUCUACCUUUAUAACUUUUCGUCAACCUCUAACUUAAUAGCCUCAAUUUUUUGAUUUGUACAAAAAGUUCUUCCUGGAGAGGUGCUAACCUGUAACACAUUAUCCAUUUUCAUACAUGAGAGCUAGACAUAGCCACAAAAGAUACAAAGAUAGAAGAAUGUGUAGCCCCAGAGUAAAAAAAAACAUAAACAGUACAUCAAAAAAUAAUAAAAUAUCUACCAUCACAUUUGGAUCCUAUUCAGCCUCCUGUUGAUUCAAUGCAAAAAUUUGGGCCUUCCCUUUUUUAUUUUUGUCUUGGUCAUCAUCCUUCUUCUAUAGAGGCUCCCUAUAAUUCAAAGCAAUGCGUCCCGACUUACCACACCGAAAACAUAUAUUUUUUUCCUAUAUAAGCGUUCUCAUGUGAUGAGUUUAUUAUACUUAAAAAUGGUGUAAUACUCCCAUUCGCCCAACAAAAGAACUUCUUUGAUUGGGCUCUAAUUCUGCUAGUAAUGUCUUUCCUUGUUAUAAUCAUUCCACUUUAUUUUUUCAAAUAACUUUUUGAUCCAUUGGACAUCUCUCUCAAAUACAGUCUAAAAUAGCAUCAGCCCUUUCCAACAUUUCAUGGUGUGAUGUGAAACAAUGAGACAUGAUAAUUAUACUAAUUUUUUAGCGUGGUCCAUGUUCGAACCUCCUGACGUUCUUAACUUCUGUAUCCACUAAUUACAAGGCAUACCUGGAAAGCUGCUCAAACUUUCUCUCGUAAUCAAUAAGUGACAUGUUUUCCUAUCUGAGCUGUAGAAACUCUAAUUCCUUGAAGUCUCUUGAAUCCUGUGGAAAGUACUUUGCCAUCACCUCAUCUUUAAACUGUACACAAGUUAGAUUAAGCCGCUAUUCUUCGAUCCUAGUAUGUGAGGUAGAUUUCCACUAGUGACUAGCCGAUACAAGCGCAUUUGUACAAGUAAUGCAUCGAAAGAAGUACGCAAGAUCUCUAAUCCAUUCCUCAACAGCCAAUGGGUUAAAACCACCCUCAAAAGUGGGAAGCCUGUAUCUACGGAACUACACAAUACCUGAGAUAACUCCAUUGACAAAAGGAGAUGUAUUCUGAAGUGUCAGUGCAUUUUGUGGUGGCGAUGCUUAACUUUGAUUGUUCAAUUCUUAUACUUCUUGUAGUAAGUCGUGCAUCAAUUUUGUGUUGGUAGGUAGUGCUAUUUCCUUUAGAUAAAAAAAAAUGUCAUCCACGUCAAUCUUCUUAUCAUGGUAACAUAACGUAUUUUAUAUUCGAGUAUGCAUUAAUAUGGGCAAGGAAAUCAUACUUUACUUGAGAUAUAAAAAUAAGCAUAACAAGAAAAAAUGUACAUCAUGAAAUCUAUAAGUAGGCAAUAGAAAAUGUAACGUUACACAAAAGAUUUGAAUGGUCAUUUCUUUCUUCAUCCAUAACAUAUCUUAUAAUUGUCGGAGUGUGGUUGUUGAGUGCCAAGGAUCUUUCAUCUCAUCACACGUUUAUGAACUUUAUAAAAAUUUAUAUCGUACUUCAGACUCAUAAAUCUAAAAAGAAAAUAAUUAAUUAUUACUCCAUUCAUCCCAUAAAAAUAGUCCUAUUUCAUUUUUUAAACAAAUUAAGAAAAUUUAACUUACUGAAAUAAUAAAUUUUACUAUCAUUUUACCUAAUAUACUUUUGGAUUAAUGCAAUCAAUAAUCAAGAACAUUAAAUAGGAGUAUUAGAAAACUAAUAUAUUAACUACACUCCCAAAUAAAAAAAUGGGACUACAAUUUAGGACGGACAAAAAGGAAAAACGGGACUAUCUUUAUGAGACAGAAGGAGCAACAUACAAUACGAAUAGUGAGGACUAAACACAGAGACAUUUAUGGCACGUCAUAUAUAUAUAUAUAUAUAUAUGACUGUUCAACUUGAACAAUGUAGGGAACUAUUCACUUUGACAAGGCAGAUGACAUAAAUCACCCACAAAGUUAUCCAUGUGCUCAUUCAUCCUUAAACAGAAAAGUUAGAUGAGAUGACCAUGUUUGAUGAGGUUAUUACAUAUACCAACUGAAUCUGCUAUAAAUCAUACUGUCAACGAAAAUCAUAUGACUGGAGUGCAAAAGCUUGCAACCAAUCCCAUCUGUAAAUAAUGUCAACUAAUCUUAGCCACCACAUAUAAAAAUUAAUACUAUUGUAAUUGUUAUGUUCUAGACCCAAUCAAUUUAGGUUGUAAAUAUUUUUAAUAUGUUUAAUGCAUUUAUUUUUGGCAAGAUCUAUUAUUUAUUUAAAUUAAUAUUCUGAUAAAUAAUAUUAAAUAAUAGAGUUGAAGAUUCAAAUUUAAGUGAUUUGUUAAUCACAAGGAGUUGUGAUUGUGAGAUGCAAACUACAUAUCAUUAGAUCUUGAACAAUUCAUGGUCGUAAGUAAUAACGAGAUACAGAUAUCGUUAUUACGGAUAGACAAUCACGUGUGGCAUUUCUUACUUGUGAAGUAAGUAACUGAUCUCACAAGCUAAAAUGUGGUGACAUUUAAAUGAACGUGUGGAUGUUUUAUUAUAAAACGAAAUAUUGGAGACCCGUUAAGAGAUUUCACAUGGUUAACUAUCUGAGUGUCAGUGGCUGAUCUCUAACGUUGGGUAGUGAAAUUGAUCAUUCGACUUAAAGUCGUUAUCGUACUUUAUAUGAGGACAGUCAUGCUUUGACGGUGUUGAAUGUUGCUCUACCAAGGGUCGUUAAUACGACAUCGGUCGGGUAUGUCAAGAAUCAUAUGAAGGCUGUGAAUAAGCAAUAGAGGAUUCGUCACUCUUAGAUAGUAAAAGAUUGUGAUCUGCAUUUCAUUCAAUUAAGUCGAUAACGAAAUUCUUCGUCAAGGUAUACUCAUAAGUCGAAAAGGAGUUUUCGACUCAUAUUGACUUCAAUGGUAAAAUGAAAGAUAUGAUCGUUAAUCGAGAUUGACACACUUCCAUAUCUCGUAAUUGAUCGGAUCAUAUUGACGAAGGGAUUAUAAUUUCAUGGUAAACGAACAUGUUUGGUUUUGUCAUAUCAUGUGAUAUUUUCCGUCACAUGUGUUGCCCUGAUACAUUGCUAGACAUCAAUCUGGGACGACGAGUGUGAAUUGGUAAUAAAUUAAAAGGGUGUUUUAAUUUAUCAAUUUUUGAUUAGAUCAACAUAAUAUUUCACGUCGCUAGGCAUCGUGAUCGAGAACCUAAUGGGUCGCACACAAAAGAUAAUUGAAAGAUUGCAAUUUGUUAAUUAAUUAAUUUAACAAUCGUUAGAUAAAUUAAUUAAUUUGAUUGGUUAUUUAUAACUCCGAAUUAAUUAAUUGGAUUAAUUAAUUCACGAACCGAAUUUAAUUAAAUGGAUUAAUUAAAUAUUAGAUCGGACCAGGCCGAGCCCGUUUGGGCUUAUAUAAAUACUUGGCUAGAGUUUUAAAUCUAUACAGUUUUUUAUAAUUCUUGCUAGCACAAGAGGAUAAACCCUAACAGUUGCAAUCUAUUCUCUUUGUAGAAUUCAUUGGAGGCUGGAUAAUUGGACAACUGUGGAAGGCAGAUCCAAAUUGCUGGAACAAAGAUAACGCAAAGGAGUUUGCAAAUUCAAGAAAAUGUAUAACUUUCAUCACANNNNNNNNNNNNNNNNNNNNNNNNNNNNNNNNNNNNNNNNNNNNNNNNNNNNNNNNNNCUUUUUUUACCCAUGCAUGUCAAGAGGCUCUGACCCCUUAAAAACACUUGUUAUUGUGGACUGAAGAAAGGGAAUUUUCUCAAUUCUUAAGAACUUAAACAUGAUCAUCAACCAGAUUCCAUCAUUUGGAAAUUGUUUUUCUUUUAGGGGAAUAAUUAAGGUACAACUGCACGAUAAUAAAUCAAAAGUUCACGUAAAACCGACCCUUAUACUGUCAGUUAAGCAUUCUAUUUACUCGUACUGAGUUGCAUGAACAGAACUAUACCUGAUUCAAGAUGGGUUUUGAUACCAAUUGUCUUCGAUUUUCCAUAGGAAUGUACUAGAUCUCCCUCCAAGAGACUGCAUUUAAAUUCAAUCAAUUUGCGUACUAAACCAGCCUGGGAUUUUUCUCGGUUAAAGACAGAUCUGUCCAACUGGGGCCAAACUACACAAGAAUGAAAAAAGAACAAUCUCUUUCCAGCUUUAUAAUUAUAGAAAGGCCCACAAGUUAAUGCACCAAUGAGUUAAUAACUUAAUACGAUAGAAGCUCCAUAUUCUUUUACAAUAUGUAUUUAUCUGUCAUGUUAGCUGCUUCAUACUUAUCUCUCAAAGUUACGAAGUUGAAUCAUUAGUUGUCUCACAAAAUGAAAAGAUAGAAACUCUUUUCAGCCUCAUGCAUUGCAAAGAGCUAUGGGAAACUGGUGUCUCCAUACCAGAUAGACUUUGGUACUUACUACUAAUCAUGCUAUAUCGUCCAUGAAAUUACUUGUGGACCUUUACACAUCAAAAACUAUUUUACCAAUUGCAGCUGGCAGAUAGGUACUCUUGCUUAUUCAAGUCAUAACGACUGUAACUCCAAAUUAUCGUAUUCAAUUUUAUAAAUGCAUAGUUCAUGAAUGUUAACAAAUUUUAUCUAAUAUUUAUUUAUUUUUUUUUAUCUAAUUUUAUGAUCACGUUCGUGUGGUUCCCAAGGUUCUUGCUACAGGUUUUUUGGUUCCUUCUUCAAUACCCUGAGAGAAAAAGAGAGAGGAAUCAAAAAAUUCAGAGAAAAUCUUCAUACCUAAAAUCCCUACAAUUAGAAUUUAUCAAAAUAUCAAGUAAAAACUUACAAUUAGAAUUUAUCAAAAUAUCAAGUAAAAACUUUCCUAAUUUAAAAAUCUACAAACUACCAAGAGAAAGUAAAUUUAUACCUACUUUAGAAUUUCACACUUUAUAAAAGUUCAUAUUUUGUCAAGUCUCCAAUGCAAUCUGCACCUCCUUGAGUAUUACAUCAAACUAUCUGCCAACUGCACAUUUAGUCUGUUCAAUUCUGUACCUAUUGUUUCGUUUUUCCAUUAUUUAUUUUAUUUUUUAUUUUUUUGGGUUGGCACAGUUGGGGAGUUGCUAACGGAAAACAUGGAUUAUCACAGUAGAAAAGACACAAGUAUCUAGCACGUGAUGGAAAAAAAAAAGAGUGAAAACAUCUAUCGAUUCCCAAAGUUUAUUUACUUUCAUUGCUUUAGGAAUUAACCUUCAAAAUGUGAAGAUGAAUUACCUAUCUUCUUUCUUUGAUUGCACAGGAGCAUUUGUCUGUGUUUCCAUACAUAGACCAUCGUAGAGGGUACUGCAUAGACUCUUCUGAUCUUUCAAAAGCAGAUAAGACAGGAUUACCACAUAUAAUGUGCCUAAAGAAGAGCAGUAAUAUUCAGAAGGUUCAUUUUGAUGCCUCUAUAUAUACAAGAUUCUCAAAUGUUUCUGGAAUGAUAACAAAGCCAUAAUUGUGAAUGGGGGUAGGCGGGGUCCUAAACUGAUUAAGGGAGAAAAGUCAAAAGGGGAGCAACAGAAUCUUUAAUUCCCAUGUGCAUUAAGAUAGUCACUGCCAUCUUAAAAGGCACAUCCAGGAGAUUUGAUUAAAAGCGACAAAAUCAAGCAGAAGGCAAUUGCAGCUUUUACUUGUAUGAAAUGGUUAUUCGUGCAAACCAUGGGCAAAAAAAGUGAACUGUGCACCCUACCAGAUUUCUCAACAUAUCAAUAAAAAUCUCUAAUAAACAGAGAACAAUUAUCUUAAAUAUAAAGGAGUAAACAAGAGUCAAAACUAUGAAACGACAGCAAAUUAUAUCUUAUUCCUGAUAAAUUGGUCAAAAAAUGAGCUUUUAUACCUACCCUUCUACAAUUUGUAUUUAUUUUGAAAUUUUGAAAAAUAGGCCUUCAUAUUUUAUUUAGUUUAAUUGGUUAAUUUUGUUUUGUCUGUUUUGGAGGAUCAAUUCAAGUUGUGAUUGAUCAAUUAUGGCUUCUUCUUUUUUCUUCUAAGGAAAACACUAACACAACCUCAGUGGGUUUUAAAGCUCCAUCAGGGAACACUGAUGGGGAUUUGGAUUCUCCAACCGUAUAUAUAAAAUCAAACUCACAAGAACAAGAGGAAGGGGAACAUAAACCUAACCUCCCAAAAGCGAAGAAAAGCAACAUAUGAAGGAAAGGAAUAAGAGCUGAUACAAGGGAUGCGAAGGAGUUUCUAAAGCAGUCAAGUAUCAAUUAUUUUAAUUCUCGUAAAGGCAAUUUUCUUCUUCUAUGAGUUAUACUCGUCUUUCUAGGUUUAUGGAAAAACAUGGAGCAAAAGAUAGUGCUUAGAUAAACAAAUGUAGACAUACUUUUAGACACUCGUAAAAGCAUAGAGAACAAUUAUUUUGAUCUUCAGUAGAAUCUUAAUAGGUAGAAUUUUAACUUAAAUAAAUAUGGUAUCUUGUCCAAACAAGCCAGAGAUAUGUUGGCAAUACAAGUGUCUAUUUUUGCUUCAGAAUUUUGUGAUCCUUGAUAUUUUCAUAAUUCUUUAAGCAUUAAAGUAGUGGAGGUCUUGGUGUGCUCCCAAAAUUGACUUUUGCAGUGAGGAAUGGUACUACCAUCAGUUUUUGGGAUGAUUAUUGGUCUGGAGAACAACCGCUGAAGGUGAAAUUUCCCUCUUUAUCUCGUAUUGUGUUUACACCGUCUGCUACGGUGAGUGAUUCUUAGAUAUACAUAAUGGGAGGAUCAGUUGGAAUAUUGUUUUUGUCAGAGAUUACAGGAUUGGGAAUUGGAUGAUUAUGCGCUAUUUUUGACUUCUUUGUACAAGUUUCGCAUCAAGACAGGAGAGGCAGACUGUAGUAGGUGGAGAUUGACACGGGAUGGGAUUUUCUCAGUUGGCACUUAUUUUAGAUCUUUAUUGGGUCUUGUGCAGAGUUCAUUCCCCUGGAAAUCAGUGUGGAAAUGUAAAUUGCCUCCACGGGUUGCAUUCUUACUUUGGACGGUGGUCAGGGGACACGUGUUAACGAUGGAUAAUCUACGAACAAGAUGUUUAUGUUACAAAGUGGUGUUAUAAGUGUCGGAGGGAUGGGGAGACGAUUGAUCACUUGUUUCUCCAUUGUGAUGCCGCUCGUUUACUGUGGCACAAUAUUUUGGCAUCACAACACAUGGAUUAGGCGAUACCGAGGCGUAUGGAAGACGUGUUAAAGGCAUGGAGGAAAAAUUUCGCGACAAGGAUUACAAGCUUGCAUGGGACCUUAUUCCGGGUUACAUUGUAUGGUGUAUGUGGGAAGAAAGAAAUAGCCGCUGCUUUGAUAAUCAAACACGGACAGUAGAGCAAAUUAGAGAUGUUUUAUUUCACAUUGUAUACGUGGUUUAAUGCUGCAGCUACUAGGCAUAUAGAUGGGUUGCACAAUUUUAUGUUUUUCCUUUCUGCUUUAAAUUAAUAAUACACUUCCCGUGUAUUAUGCAUUGAUUAAUAAAAUAUUUGAUUACCUUUCAAAAAAAAAAAUUCAUAUUGGAUCUGCAAUUUGGAUGACUAUAACAUUAAUAUGUAGAUUGAAUUUGGAUGAUUAAUAUUUUUUAUUUCGUAUUGUAUAACAUUUUUUGUAACAACCCAGGCCUCGUACCCAAGUUGUUUUCUCAUGUACUUCCACUCCGUGAGAGUCUAAACCUAUCUGACUUCUCACAAAUUUCUAUAACGCCCUCAGGAUUCGAACCCAAGACCUCUGACUUAUGAGAGACUUAAACUAAAUCAAGGCACAAUGCUAGUGACAGGAUUUAGCUAAAGUCUCUCGUAAGGCAGGGGUCUCGGGUUCAAAUCCUUGAAGACAUGACAAAAUGUCUUGAGGAGUAAGAUAGAUUCAGGCUCUCCCAGAGCAAACAAUACGUAUGAUAUAAAGACUUUAUUAAAUUUUUUAUUAUGUAGGUUGAAUUUGCAUGAAUUUAAUAUUUUUCAUUUGUAUCGAGUUUGCAAUAGCAUUUUUCAUAUGUUGAUUGAAUUUGUUUUAGAUAGCGAAAAUGAUCCAACCUCAAAUGCGCCAAUCUUUUCAAAUUUUAUUGAAAUUGCCCCUAUAUUAAAUUAGACCAUCAAAGUUUUUAAUAAUGGCCAAUCAAGUUCAUCAAAAAAAAUGGCCAAAUGUGAAUUAGGCCCCCGACAAAAAAAAAAAAAAUUGUGUUCCUUGUGUGAUUCUGUUUAAAGCCCAAAACCAACCAACCCAACUCAACAACCCCACCCAACCUUCAUCAGUUAGGGUUGAGUUGAGUUUUAGACUUGUGGGUGGGUUGGUUCUGCUCAAUUUCUCAUGAAACUGAACGUGUUGGGUUAGGCCCAUUUUUUGGGCCUAAACCAACCCAUGCUCACCCAAGGUGCACACCACAAAAAUCAAAUAGCAUCGAGAUAUAUAAGCAAUAAUGAGCAUGCAUACAAUAUGCACUGUUAUUGAUGCUAACAGACUUCAUGAUAACUACUUAAUUGGACGUGCAAAUAGUAUUUGCAGUCAGGAGAAUAUACAAAAUCCUAUACUUAAUGAUCAAAUCGAGACAUCGAGGAUGUACAGUCAUAGUCAAGACUUAUGAAAGAUAGCUCUUAUAUUAAUGUAAACUGUUAUAUCUAGGACUUAAGACUAAAUAACAUCAAAGCGCGUCAUCUCAUUACUCUUCUAUUGAUGAAUACAUACAUGUAUAUAUACACGAAGCAUAAAGAUGAAGAAUGUAGCUUUAUAUUUGUGUGCAUACCUGUACUUCACUGUGAUUUUGAGCAUUAUAUUUGUGUUCACGUGUGUAAAGAGAGGGAGAGCGGGUCUAGUACUGUGAAUGGUUGACAAAUGAACAGACUGAAAGGAUUUUGUGAAUAAGAGAGAGAGAGUCUGCAUGACAACUCGAAAGAAAAUAUAAGGAUAAACACAAUCUUCAUAAAGAAUAUCCAAAAAUCAUUACGUGUUAUUCUACUUUUUGAAAAUAAAUUAUACGCAUCUUAAGAAAUUAAUCAGGUGUACAUUUGCAUUUAUCUUCAAAUUUAAUAAAAAGUUGUUUCAAGCGAUAACCAACAUUGUUUUAAUUGAUUUACCAUUAUUAAAACUGAGUAUUAACAAAUUUCCAUAUAAAAUGUGCACCUUGUCAUCCGCGCCACCUUCAAAUUAACCUAUUUGUGCAUGUGCAUUGCACAUCGACUAUACUAGUUGCUGCGUAUUAGGAUUUAUGACAUAAGGUUUUGUGUUACGCUCACUGUUAACCUACCACAACCCUCCUCUUUGCUCAGUUUUGCAACCUACUAUGAAAUACAUAGACACCAUUCUAGUUAUAGUGAUUUUUUUAAAUUUAACAAUUAAAAAAUAAUUAUUGAAUAGGAAAAUUAAACAAAAUGCUAAAAAACCAGCAAAUACAUUUAUGAUGUAGUUGAAAAAAGUGCAUGUAUACACAUUAAUUGCACAGUAGAUGAAUCAAGAUUAAAGCUGAAUAAAGAUCAAUUACCUGUAGACUGCCCAGAAGGUGAUGAUGCCAUCCGCAGGUGGUGGUGACAGAAGAAACAUAGGUUGAAGUGGCUAUGGAGCAGGCACAGAUUGCUGCACAGAUGCAGUCGUAUUGCCCCCAUUUUUAGUGUAAACUUCUUUCCUUCAUUACCAUGCCCAGUUUAUUGGGGAAGAUUUAUGUCUUUGUUAGCUAAUGCUUAAUGGGUUCAUUGCAUAACAUGCAUAAUUAGAACUACAUAAUGAACGGAACAGAAAAUUGUACAAUAGAAAAAUUCUGAGAUCAAUUUUAUUAUUUAGAGAUACAUUCAUAAAUUUAUCAAAUCUAUAUUUUCGGCUCCUCCAUCAGAUUUGAUAAGUUCUUUUUUCCUCCCAAUUCGACUUCCUACAAUGUUCACAAAUAUCUAUAGUAGAGUUUAUUGAUUGACUAGAUUUACACUGUGAGGAAUAUGAUUUAACAGUGACACCACCUAUAAUACUUUCCAUUUUUGUCAGUGAACUAAAGUACUGAACUUCCUGCUAAUUGCCUUCCUGAUAUUUCUCACUUUCCAAUUUCAGAAGUUUCAAGUUUUCGUAGCAGUAUGAUAUGCAUAAAAAUAUUACUAACUAAAAGUACUAUGGCAAGUAAGUCAUAAGCUUGUCUGAGUUCCUCUACACUAAAUAUGGAAAAAUAUUAAACUGAAACAGAAUCUUGAAGCUAAAUUAAUUAAAGACAAUUAAAGUAUUACAUUUAACAUGCAAUUUACAAAAAAAAAAAAAAAGAAAAAAAAAAUGAACCUGUGUAAUUUGUCUUUUUUUCUUUAAAAAGAAUUAAGAGAGCAGUCUACUGCCAUUUUAAGUAAAGAACUAAGCUAAAAUUGGAGUACAAAGAGCAAAUCAAAACACAAUCUAAACAGUUCUUAUUCAAACAAAAUAGUUACUCAUGAAAGUCAAUGUGCAACGGGGUGUGGAGUAAACAACACAAUCAAAACAGCUAUUACUCAUUCAAAACAGUUACUUUUGGAAGUGCAAGUGCAACACAAGUGCAAACUACCAGGAAAAGGAAAUAGAGCAUUAAAUUGAAAUACGUCAUCUAAAAUUUCAAGAUGAUAGAGAGAUUAUAUAGUUAUUUACUUAUAUUUUAUGGAAACAUAUUUAAGUUUUCCACCAAAAUAAAUUUAUGAUCUAGUAAAGGUAAAAUUGCCUCUUAAUAUAGGAGGUUCAUGGACUAAAACAACUAUGGAAGCAAAUAGUUUCAGGAAUUUUUCAUUGCAUCCUUCAAGUUUCAUUUCAGGAAGCAAUGAUAAUUCUAUUAGUAGACUGUGAAGGAGUAAAGCCAAUCAAAGAGUAAUGUUUGAGAUAUAUGGGGCACGUGCAUACCUCGUGCUAUGUCUGUGCUAAAAGUUAUUUUCAGCACUAGGGUUACAUUUGGAACUCUGCUAAGAAGCAUGGAUUGGAAUGGGGGCCGUGAAGCACACUAUUCCCGAGGCAGAUGCCUCAUUGAAUGAGAAGCACACCUCAAGGGGAGUGAGGUGUGUGCGCAGUUUUUCCCAGGAAUGACCUUUUUUUCCUUUUUUAUCCUUCUCUUUUUUAUCUGAACAUAAAUUUUAAGGAAUAUGAUGUUUGUCCAGACUCAAAGACAAGGGAAAAAAAAAAGAAACAAACUGACUUGGCAACAGAUGAUUGGAUGUUUGUAGUUUUUAUUUUUCAAAUAGUUCAAUUAUGUGUUAACAUAUUGUAACCUGUUUUUUAGCCUGUUUGUGUGCAUAAUUCCAUUUUUAAUUUGGCCCAUCAAUUCUUUUACUUGUUUAACCUAAUCAACCCCACACAUCACCAUCCCCGAAACAUUCAAAGCUUACUCAAUAAGAUUUCAAGGCAGCAAACUCCGGCAUUCUGAAAAAAUCCAGCAGGUAUUUAAAUUUUUUUUUUUUACCCGUCCUUUUUUCAACAUUUCAUCUUUAUUUUUUAUAAAAUUAUAUUAUGGGUGGUUUCUUUAUUUUGGCGUUAGCUCUAUAGAAAAUUUUCAAGAUUAUUUAUGGUUUAUUAUACCUUAUUAUACCUUUAUUUUAUAUUAUUGUACAUUAUUUGAUUUAUUUUUUUUUGGUUUGCAGAGAGGCUUAGGCCUCACUUCACAACCUAGUUCCAUCUUUUUAAACAUUCAAGGAAGAGGUAAAAAUUAAUGAUUCCGACACCCAUUCAAGAAUCAUCAUGCCUAACAUGGAGUAAUUGACACCAUAUCACCAUAUUGAAAUUCUGCAGUGUUCCAACAUCAAGUCAUAUCAUAAGCCAAUGUCAUUUACAACUACAUAUCGCAAAUAUGCAAACACUGCAAUUUUCUUAUAUAAUUGUUGGAACAACUAUGCAUUGCUCUUAUGUAAACAAUAUGCAUUACUCCUCGUGUUCCCACUUGCAACUAAUUCAUCAAUUUUUCUCUCCUAUGACAAGUGAAUUGUCAUAAUUGCAUACCCGAAGUUAAUGUCAAUAUCUUCCAAAAAAAUUAAACAAAGCCCAUUACCCAAUUGAGACAAACCAUCAAACACUUCAUACACGAGUGUAACAGAAUCUAGAGUGAUACUUUCAAUUACUAUUGUGAAGAAUCCAGAUUUUUUCUAUGAGCUACCAAGACAAGAGUCUAUGACUAAAUAACAAUUUAAUUGUCUUUGCUACUAUGUAACAAAAGAACACAAGCAAAUCAGUAAAUAGGUUCAUACAGGCUUUUAUCCACCUUGUAAAUUUAACUACUCGCUUCCAUCCUGGGAGCACUUUUGCAUUUAAUCACAUGUAAAGUUCAAAAACAAAUAUGUUUUUGACUUCAAUUUGAAAUAAUCCUUGUCUUCGCAUACAAUUUUAAUUAGAACAACGGAUCCUUAAAAUAAUGGGAUAACUUAAUCAUGUCGAGGAAACGUCUAAUGCAAUUCUUAGAAGGUAAGGGGAGAUAGAAGUCAAAGCAAAUGUUUGCAUAGUAACUCGUCUCUCCAAGAGGAAGUGGUAGAUGUGGUCAUGGAGCGAUGCACUGAACCAUGUUGGUGGCCUAAUGUCAUCCUCCUCUUCUUUCCCUCCUCUUAUUGACCAUUGCUUCUCAUUAUCCCUAUGUAAGAGCAUCUCCAAGAGACCUUUUAAAAGUGAAAUGUGAUAAGCCCCCAAUCCCCAUAUUCUGUUGCUAGGGAAAGUAGUUAGGCAGAUUUAGCUAAGAGGCUAUAAAUAGAGGUAGAAGGAGAGUCUAGAGAGAGGCAUUAAUUUAGUCGUAAAAGAGUCCAGUUAAUUUCUCUUGUUUCUGUUCCGUAAUUCCAUGCACAUCAAUACCAAGUUCUAUAAUAAUUGUUCCAGUUUCCUUUUCUUCCAGUUGAGUCUUAACAAAUUGGUACCAGAGCGAGCAAUUUUGAUGGCCCAAAAGAAGAUAGAAAUCAGAGUGGAAGCUAUGGAGACGGAGAUGAAGCGAUUGAAAUCUGAGAUGCAAUGCUUACCAAAAUUGGAAAGGUCUGUGGAGCACCUCAUACAGAGCAUGGAAAAGUUGCUGCUGUCCAUAGAAGAAACCCAGAAAAAUAUGGUUGCCUUGAUUUUCCGUAAGGCAACAAUGAACCAGGGUACUCAAUGAAGAUAUAUUCAGAAAUUUUAUGGAAGGGGGCUACCUCCUAGUGUCCACUAGGGACUCUUGAUGGAUCAACAGCACAAGACAAAGGAAAAGAGUCGAAAGAAACAAGGAAGGCCAGCGCCGGAGGAAUUACGGUCGCUUCUAAUCAGAUUAGAGAUGGUGGUAAUUGGCAGAGUGUUUGGAAGCUUGAGAUGCUUGAAGUCCUAGCUUCUCCUUCUAAGAACAUCAUCGCAAGACAAGCUGGAAAAGACGAAAACAUCGACUCAUAGAUGGAAGGAGAAAUAUGUCAUGGGCUAACAUAUAAGGCUAAAAUUUAUAUUACAAUUAAAUGCAUUCAAAAUAUUCCAAUUUUCAAUGCUCCAUAUAUUAAUCCAAUUAAAUAGUAAUACAAAAAUGGAGGGAAAAUCAUAUUAUAAUUUGGAGGGAAGCUAGUGAAAAUAUAAGACAGGGAAAAAUAAUAAUUACAUAUUUGGAGUAGUAAAAAUUAAGUGUUAAAGAUAAAGAGAUUAUUAAAGUAUUUAGAAGUUUUUACUCUCUAAAUUUAUAGAUGCUCUUUAAAUUGCAAAAUGUGCUCUUCAAAAUAGAUAAUCUCUUGUAGAUGCUCUAAAUGUACUUCCGUUCACCGGUUUGGGCUGUUGGGCCUCAAUCAUCAUCUUUUUACAGAGUUAAGUAACAAUUGACAAUGGAUAAUUCUCCAUACAGUCUAUGGAUUCUUUCCUAUUUACCUUUUACUUCUAAUUAUACAUUUUUGCAAUGAUACGUCUUUUUCUAAAAGUAGAGAAAGCUACAAUCACCUAGUGAUCAGAAAGAAAGAUGCAAAAACCAUAAUGUCAUCAUUUCAUUAUAUUGCUCCAGUGUAUUCCCCGUUCUGUCCUUUUUUAGGAAUCGAAUGUAAACCAUUAAAUCUGAGCUAAGGUUCACAUUUGGUGGCUGGUGAGUCUAAAUAUUGUGUUCAACUGUCCCAAAGAAAUUAACAUUUGUUAAAUCAAAGAACAUUUUUUAGACUAUAUAACUUCUCUACAACUUUUCAAUGUAAGCUAUGGAAUUGAAUGAUGAAGUGUAUCAAGAUAAACAAAAUGUGCAAAACUGAUCAUCGGCAGUGAGUCUUCAAGGCUAAAGAUGGUGCAUUUUGUAGAAAGUCAUCACGCAUUCUAUGCAGUGGAAAAAUAUUAAGCAUCCAAAUGGCACUGCAUAACUAUUUUAUAGUCUGCUUGCGCUCUUAACACUAAACUAGGGCAAGGUGAUAGAUGAUUACAAUAAAAGAUUAUAGUAAAAUGAAAACGUAGCUAUGGCACUCCAGGUGCUUGGCUAAAUCAUGAUGGUGAUCAGAAUUUGAAAGGAAUAAAUAAGAAUGCUAUAGUAGUCAGGUGUAAGCAGGUAGAAAUAGUGCAGAUUCAUAUGCAUGUUGGAAAGGCAAAGCUAAAAUGUGUGCUUGAACAGUCAUCACCAAUAGAUCACUUUCAUGUGAAAAUGAUUUGGAUUUCAAAUUGGAUACACAUACAAGAAGGAUGCUCCCCAUUAAUUCAACUGGGGAUGAUUUUUACUUCAGUGAAGAAGAUUUGGCAUCAACUUAAAGCACACAGACUUCAUCAUAUUCAAAUUAGAGUUCAUAAAAAUCACAAUAUAUAAAAAUCUUAGGCUGUAAGGUGGGCAAACUUUCAAUUUCCUGAAACAGCAAUGAAAAAACAUUCGGCAGACAGGUUUCAGAUUAGAUUCUCUGGUUAUAAAUCAAAAAAGAUAUGAGCAGUCUAACGACCUCUGUUGGCACGACGCCGUCUCUGAGCCUGCUGAACAGAAAGGGGGGGUCGCCUGUUGUGUGCCUACAUGUUAAAAUGAUAUAAUCACGAUUAGAUUUGCCCCUUUACAAUAAUAAAGUUUCUUUCACUUCAAUUUUGAAGAGAUGGUCAAGUUUAUCUUAGUAUCCAUUUUACAACUUAAAUAAUUUCUGAGCUAUGAUUAUCUUUCAUUUCUUUCUCAUUUACCUUAGACUCCCUUUAGAUUACGGAUGCCAUUGAGAAAGUAAAAUCUUCUCUCUCCAAAUUUGUCAAUAAAUCUUGACAUAAAUUUAGUAGCACGUCAAAAUGGUCCAGGUAAUAGAUCAAAUUAUGUGAGCAAUACACAAUAUUUACUUUAUGAGUAAUGUUAUAGUCUUGAUAGAUUCAACAAUCUCGAGAUAAUUAAAUUAAAGAUUAAAUGUGAAUGUUCAUCUAAAUGUUUAUUCAUAGUAAAAUUACAUUAAGAGCAUGUUUGGUAGAGAUUAUAAUCCAAUUAACAUCAAUUUUUUUACCGUUAUUUCACUAUUCCAGCCGUUAUUUUUGAAUUCUUCUCUCACAAGCAGGACCCACUUUAUCUCUAACGGUCAAAAAAUCAAUUAAAAAAAUCCCUACCCAACAAGCACUAAAUAAAUUUUAAAUGUGAACAUUCAUCUAAUAUUCUUAGUGAAACUACAUUCGAAGAGAGUCAUAUACAUAUCUCCGGCAUCCAUGCAUGAGUUAAUUUCCAUAAUGAUGAUUUUGGUGAGUUCCAAUUGCAUUAAGAGUGCAUUAUCAUGCAUCUUUAGGAACCAUAGUGACGAUUUUGGUGAGUUGAAAUUGUAUUAGGAGAGCAUUAUCAUGCAUCUUUAGGAAAGAAGAGACACUGACUCCAAUUUGUGUCACGAAAUGGCAAGAAGAACAUUGAACCGCUGGUGCUCCAUGUUGGUACAUAAGUAAAACUGCACAACCCCCACAAUUAACUUGUCCAAUUUGAUAGGCUGCAAAAACAAAGAUGAAAUCCUAAAUCACAUGAGACCAAGCCAUCACAAGACCCUAGUUAGCAAUUCAGACACAUCAACCUGAGAUUUAAUGCACGAAUCCAAAAAUUUUUAAGGAAGUCUUCUGUUCUUCUGUUUAUUUUUUUCUAUCGCUCGCGUAAAAGUGAAGCAUUUUAGCACGUCAUGGCAUGGAAAAUUUGGUGGCCCUCAAUUACAAAGACAUGCAAGAAGAUCCCCUUUACUUCAAAAGAGAGGAUCCAACAUUUACUAUUCAACCUAAGGUAGCGGUUUCACACUUAACUGGUUUUAUACUGUAGUUGAACUCGUUAUGCACUAUUCAUCACCAAAAAAAAAAGUUUUCUGGAAAUAAUAAUGAAAUAUGGCAGCAUUAUUGCUGUCUUUAUUGACUUUAUAGAACCAUUUGCUAACGGUUACUGUAGCUUCAAUUAAAAAAUAUCAUUUCACUUCGUUAGAUGCUGUAGCUUCCAGAAAUGAAAUUAAUGAGACCACUUUAUUGCCUCCAUUGUUGACUUACACAAGUGAGUUACUAUAGCUGUCCCUUCCAAAAAAAAAAAUUCUUCUCGUGCAUCAUGAGAGAGUGAGACAAAUUAUGGCAACGAAUUGUAGGAAUUUUUUUAUCAUGCCAGUUACUAUUCGUUCAGAAAGCAUCUCAUUAUUGCCCAUUUGACCCUUACAUGCAUACCGAUAAGUCAUUCACUCCUAACCGGGUAAAGCAUUUUUUUUCCCUUGGAUAAUUGAUCUUGUGUUUUAUAUCAUAUAAUAUUUUUAUUAUAAAAAUUGUCACGAAAAAAUAAUAAAUAUUAAUAAAUAAUUAAUUUUUUUUAAAGAAGAAAAACGAGUUAUACGUAUUUUUUAAAACAUACGUUUGAUGUACGUUUAACUAUUUUCGAUAUUCAUUUAGAUCAUUCAAUGCUUCUAUGACAUAGUUCUCAAAAUGAGUUUCGAGAUAAUAUAGAAGAUAUAUGCAUUCGACUACCGUACAAUCGUCAAUGAAUUUAUAAAAUUAGCAUGUUAUCAAAAUUCUUAAUUUUUUAAAUGAUGUCUAUUUUAACAUUAAAAAAAUUUAAAAGUUUAUUAGGAAAUUUUCUAAAUGACGUCAAAAAUUAUUGUUACGAAAAAAUAAUAAAUAUAAUUAAAUAAUUAAUUUUUUUAAGGAAAAAACUAGUUAUACGCAUUUUUAACACACAUUUGAUGUACGUUUAACUAUUUUCAAUAUUCAUUUAGAUCAUUCGAUAUGUUUAUGAUAUAGUUCUCGAAAUGAGUUUCGAGAGAAUAUAGAAGAUUUAUGGUAGAUUUUUAUAAAAAUAAAUAAAUAAAUCACUUAGUGAAAAAAAAAUUUAACCAAAAAAAAAAAAACAAUAGAGCAACUCCACGCAUCACGAAGCAAAUGCUCCGUGAUGCGCGGAGCAAUUUUGCUCAUGGCAUCCAGGAGAAAUUGCUCCGUGCAUCACGGAGCAUAUCCAUUAGGCAACUUUUUUUUUAUAUAUAUAGAUGACGUUCAGUGUCAAAAUUUAUUUUAUUUUUAUUUUUUAUUAGGUGAUUUAUUUAUUUAUUUUUUUUUAAAUCUAUUAUAAAUCUUUAUAAAUAUUCUAUAUUCUUUCGAAGUUUAUUUCGAUAACUAUAUAAUAGAUACAUCGAAUGAUUUAAAUGAAUAUCGAAAAUAAUUAAACCUACAUCAAGCAUGUAUAAAAAAAUGCGUAUAGCUCGUUCUUUUUUCUUUUAAAAAAUCAAUUAUUUUAUUAAUGUUUAUUAUUUUUUUGUGACAAUUUUAUCAAUAUAAUUUUCUUUUUUCCUUGGUGAUUGAUAUAUUUUUUAUACAAAUCUAUUUUACCCUUAUUUAAUAUGACACGGAGUAUAUUAAAUCAUGUAUAUUGUUUAUUUCCUAAAAGUAGUUGUGAUAAAUCAAAGUAAAACUUAACACAAUAUUGAAAAAAAAAAUACUCAAUCAAAAAAAUAUCGAUUAAUUUAUUUGACGAUACUGAAUAUUUUAGAUGUAUAUAAAUUUUGGAGGAUUAAAUUCAUAUAUAUCAAAAUUGGGUGAUUAAAUAAAAAUCUCAACCCCAUUUAAGUGACAAAACAUUAUAUUGUGGCUCAGCUUGUGUUUGACUCCAUUAAUUUUUUCUCAUUUUUCUCUCUUUUAUUUUCAAUCGCAGAAUCUUCUAUAAAAUAAUAUUAUACAUAAAUAAAAAAAAAUUCAUUAAAUCGAUUGGAUAUUGAACAAUAAAAAAAAGAUUCGACUAAUUACACGAUUUAAUUAUAUUGAAUAGUUAUCAUCAAAUAAGUCCUUUAUAUGUAAAAUAACCACUCAAAUUAAAAUAAUGUUUGAUUUAUGAGCUCCAAUAAUUGUGGUUUUUAAUCUAUGCAUCAAGGAAACAUUUAUCCUAUCCCCAGAAAAUACAUUUCAAUUAUAGCAACACAAAAUUGAUGCCAACUAAUUUUUCAUCUUAAUAUUUUGGGGCCGUUUGAGCCCCAUUAUUUGUAAAUUAUGAGAUAAAUAGUGUUUUUUUUGAAAAAUGAAUGGUUGAAAAUUUUUGAUUUACGUGUAAUAUUAUUUUAUUGAAGAUUGUGUGGUUAUAAGUAGGAAAGAGAAAAUUUUAAUUUAAUUUAAUGAAAAAUAAUGAGGCUCAAACGGGGGCUUUAACAUCUGAAAACUUUUUAUAUAUAAAAGAAAUUCGAUCAUUUUUAGAAAUUUUUUUCUUAUUGGUAAUUUUUCCUCUCGAUCAAUUAAAUUUUUAAAUAAUCUAAUAAAAUUUUUUACGUCAUUUAGAAAGCUUCCUAAUAAACUUUUAAAUUUUUUUAAUGUCAAAAGUGUGUUAUAUAUGAAGAUUACAUUUCUGUUUAUCAUUUUAAAUAAUUAAUCAAAUUUGUAGAUUUAUUGAGAGAACUGAACAGAUAUUUUGACAUGUUAAUAAUUUAAUAUUACCUAAAAAAAUGACAUAGCCCGUGCAUUGCAUAGGCGGAAAACUAGUAAUAAUAAAAUAUCAGAUGUUAAGAGCACAACAUGUCUCAGAUACUCAAAACUUCAAUUUGCCAUAAACUUCAAUACAAGCAGCCUAUGUAUUAGAGGAUGUCGUGAUGUCGUUACCAUGUAUAACUUGAUUAGAAUUAGGGAUUUAUUUUGAUUGUACAGAAAUUUACUUUCCUUGUAUGUUCCUUGUAUAUUCUAUAAAUUGAAUGGAAUACAUACCAAAGAUUUAUUCAGCAAAAUCGGUUUUAGCAUGGUAUCAGAGCCCUAAUAUUUCUCGUGCGUGUCGCUAGCAAUCAGCUCUUAGUUCUUUAUAGUAGAAUCACGAUCAUCGCCUCUUGCAUUUCCGUCGGCAGUCACCAUCAAUUGGUUUCUUCAUAGUCUGCGUCUUUAUCAUCACUUGGUUUCUUCAUAGUCGGCGUCUUCGCGUUAGCUUCUCUCUGCGUUCCAGUGGUCAUCUUCUCAGUGUGUUACAUCUACGUGGUCGUGAUCCAGUGUGUUCUUAAGGUCAAUGUGUUCUUUGAUUUCUCAGAGAAUCGAACUGUGGUUUCUGUGGUCAGAGCAAAUUGUCGUCUUCGUCGCCUCUGUGAGUGAUUUUCUUGCCUUUGGCCAAUAUGUUGGGCCUUAGUAAAAUUAUUGGUUUUAUUAAAUACUUGUGGGCUUGGGCAAUUGAACUAUAUUGUCUUUAAUUGGAUACUGGUAGAUUUGGGCCAGGGCUUGGACCUCUAAUUUAAGUGGAUAUUUAAUUGGACAAAUUUAAAUUAAUUGGGUUGUGAUAAAUUUAUUGGCUAACAACCAAUUCUCCUCCUCCGUCAAAAUCUUAAGGUCUGAUUCCAGGGGUGAAUAUAUGUCUAACGCAUUUCAAGCUUUCUUACAAACUAAAGGCAUUAUUUCUCAGCAAUCUUGUCCUUCUACUCUUCAACAAAACAGGGUGGCAGAAUGCAAGAAUUGCCAUCUGCUUAAUAUGGUUCGAGCUCUUCUGAUUGAAUCUUCUGUCCCUCUCGAUUUUGGUGUGAAACUUUGUCUACCGCUGUACAUCUCAUAAAUCAGUUACCUUCUCCUACUCUUAAUAAUGUCUCUGUUUUAUAAGCUCUUUGGUCAUCAUCCCUCUAACUCUUAUCUGCGUCCUUUUGGCUGUGUGUGUUGCAUUCGUUUACAACCAGAAGAAAGGACAAAACUCACUCCUCAAUCGGUCAAGUGUGCUUUUUUUGGAUAUGGUGGGACUCAAAAAGGGUAUGUUUGUUAUGAUCCUGAGACACAACGAAUUAGGAUUUCUCGCAAUGUUGUUUUCUUUGAAAAACAAUAUUUCUUCACUUCAGAAACUAUUACUUCCCCGCCUAAGUUUUCUGUCCUACCUACUUUUCCUAUAGAAUUCUCUCAAUAUAAGCUCGGUCUUGUUUACACUCGCAGGCAUGAUGUACAGUCUACUAAUCCCACACUUCUCAGACGACUGUCCCCCACAUCUCUGAUCCUCCACCUACGACAUCAGAUCCUUCACCAGAUGAUUCUCCACCUACGACAUUAGAUACUUAACCGGGUAAUCUCCCACCUCCUGUCAGUCUUUGUCGCACCUCUCGUGUCCCUUGACCACCAGAUAGGUAUGGCUUUUCCUCCUAUAGUUCUAUAUCUACUACUCUUAACUCGAUUUCCAUUCCUUCCUCCUAUAGACAGGCUAUAAAACAUUUGGAAAUAGACGAUGAAUGCAAAACUUGAGGCUCUUGAGUCCAACCAAACAUGGGAUGUUGUACCAUGUCCACAGAAUGUAAAGCCUAUUGAGAGUAAAUGGGUACAUUCUAUCAAACUUCAUUCUGAUGAUUUUCUUGAGCGGUAUAAAGCUCGACUGGUUGCAUGGGGUAAUCGUCAAGAGUAUGGAAUAGACUAUAAUGAAACUUUUGCUCCAGUCUCUAAAAUGACAACUAUCCAUCUUUUGUUAUAGCUUGCCGCUUCUCAAUCUUGGUCUUUACAUCAAAUGGAUGUAAAGAACGCAUUCUUACAUGGAGACCUCGAGGAAGACAUUUACAUGAAACUUCCAUCUAGUAUGCCUCUUCCCUUAGCUAAUUUGUUUGUAAGUUAAAAUGAUCUUUUUAUGGUCUUAAACAGGCUCCUCGCGCAUGGUUUGACAAGUUUCGCCGCACUCUUAUGGAUUUUUUAUUUACUCAGAGUCAAUAUAACGCAUCCUUGUUUCUUCACAAGAGUACUGCUAGCAUUGUUUUUCUAUUGGUAUAUGUGGAUGAUAUUAUUAUUUCUGGAUCUUAUCACAUCCUUAUAAACUUCAGCAACAUCUUCAUUCAAUUUUUCACAUGGAGGAUCUUGGUCAUCUCAAUUUCUUGGUAUAUUCUUAAAUCAACAUAAGUACAUUCAAGAUUUAAUUCGAUUGGCUGAUUUAUCUUAAGCCUCCUUAGUUGAUACUCCACUGGAACUUAAUGUUAUAUAUUGAAAAGGCGAAGGUAAUAUCCUUACAGAUCCUACCCUCUGAUGGAGGUUAGUAGAUAGUCUCAUCUAUCUUACUAUAACUCGUCCAGAUAUUUCAUUCGCAGUUCAUACUGUCAACAAAUUCAUAGAUACCCCUCAUUAUCUUCAUUCGGUAGCUAUCUGCCAUAUUAUCCGAUACCUUAUUGGGACCCCUCACCUUGGUCCGUCCUUCCCUGAGGGAACGUCUCUUGAGCUCACGGCUUAUAGUGAUGUUGAUUGGGCAGGUUGCCCUGACUCUUGUCAAUCAACCACUGGGUGGUGUAUCUUUCUAGGUGAUGCUCUCAUUUCUAGGAAAUGUAUGAAACGGGAUAGUGUUUCUAAGUCCUCCACUGAGGCUGAAUAUCGUGCUAAGUCAGCUGUGUGUUCUGAGAUUGUAUGGUUGCAUGAUCUUCUAACAGAGCUUGGUAUUUCACAAACAAAGCCUACCUCGCUUCAUGGUGACAACACUAGUGCCAUUCAGAUUGCAGUCAAUCCUGUGUACCAUUAACGCACCAAACAUAUUGAGGUGGACUGCCAUUACAUUCAGGAUGCAUAUGAUUCUAAGAUAAUCACUCUUCCCCAUAUCUCAACUACCCAACAGGUUGCAGAUAUCUUUACCAAAUCAUGACUCAUCUUCGUCAUGAUUCUCUUGUUCGCAAAUUGAUGCUUGUGGAUUCCCCAACACCAAUUUGAGAGGGGGGUAUUAGAGGAUGUCGUGAUGCCAUUACCAUAUAUAACUUGAUUAGAAUUAGGGAUUUAAUUUGAUUGCACAGAAAUUUACUUUCCUUGUAUAUUCUAUAAAUUGAAUGAAAUACAUGCCAAAGAUUCAUUCAGCAAAAUCAAUUUUGGCACUAUGUACUAUACACACAGAUGAAUUAGGUCAGCUAGUCCCCCCCAAACAAUGUUAUAGUUGUGGACAUCAAUUCAGAAAAAAAAAAAUAAUGAUGCCCAAUCCAAAAAACCACAAGUCCAAUGAGACAAAUGUACUAGAGCUCCAAUUAGGCUGACCAUUAGUAUGACAAAGUCACCAAAGAUUAAAGAAACAAGAUUUGAGUAGUCAUCACUACUGGAAAUUAAGAUACACAAGUAACAUUGGACAUUCUCUUGAGGAGGAGGAGGGAGUAAAUAUGUGAUUGAGCUUACAUGUUAAUAAAUAAAGACCUUGGAAUCAAUGCAAAUUAUAGAUUUCAAAAGAAUGUUCCACUGAAGGAAUUAACUUCAUAACAGAUUGACGAAUAUUUGACUUAAAAACAAACAUAUAAGUAAUAGGAGACAGAAAACCUUCUAGGACGAGAUUGACUUCCUGGCAACCAGGACAUUGGACCCAUUUUGCUCCUCGCGGGUACAAAAGCAAUUUCCGGCAAGUUCCACAAACUAAUUGAGCCUUUUCUGCAUCAGCAUAACAUAGAGGCUAUGUAAGUACAAGUAAUGAAUCCAGAGCCAGAUUUCCAGAGUCAUAGCCAACUAUCGAUUUCAAAUAUUCCAAAUGUGAAAGAAUAAAAUAGAGGAAAACUAGGUGCAGUAGCAACAGGUAACAACAUUAGAUACAUAUAUUUAUAGGAGGCAGCAUCUCACUGUUGUCUUGAAUUAAAUUGGAUUACUAGUUACAUCAGCUCUGCUACAAAUUAAUUUAAAUUAUGAGUAAGAAUAACUUUUCUGUUUGUUGUUCAUGCCUCCAAUAGAAUCAGGAAAUUACAUAAGAUGACAUGUUUAGCAUAUUACAAACUUUUUUAUACUCACAAAUACGAAAUGCGUCAAACAGAAAUAGAAAAAAUAACGAUGGGGUUAGUAGAUUAGAAUUAAAGAUAGUUUAAUUUACAUUAGGCCUAUUUUAGUUUGUUAUAGUUUUCUAGUUUGACUAAAGCUAGGGUUUUGUUUUAUAAAUUUCCUAGUUUGACUUAAAUUAGGUUUUAUUUCCUUUGUAUCCUUCUUAAAUUAGGUUUGCUUAGACUCCAUAUAAAGAGGGUCUAUUCAUUGUCAUAUUCAAUCUUCAAUAUUGAAACUGAUAUUUUCCCUUUCUAGAAUUUAUCUAUUCUCUUCUCCUCCUCCUCCUCCUCCUCUUCCUCUUUCUCCUCUCCUUUCUGUUCUCUUCUUCCCUACUUUCCCCUUCUUGUACAAGUCUCGGUAUUUGUUCGUUGCGAUCUACAUCAAUUUGGCAUAAGAGUUUCGGCAUUUUCCUUUGACUAAAUAAUUUUGAAAAGUUUUGAUCGAUAUUCAAUUUCGAGAGAUCACAUCAAAUAAUAUGCAAGAAAAUUUUCAGUCACCAGGGAAAUUGUUGCUGAUUAAUUACAUAGUACAAAAUUCACUGCAAAUCAGAAAGUAUUUUUUCCUUCACAGUGUUUGUAUUAAUUCUGAUCAUCCAACUUGGAGAAUCCAAUCGCAGGCUUUGCAAAAGCCCAUUUGUGGCGUUCAAUCACCCACCGAACCCACCCAAGCACCAAACUUGGAGCCCAAAUCAUUUACCCACAAUGAUAGAUCAUAACCAUCAGCUAAAUUAGCCCAAUUUAGUCAGGCUCAUUAACCCUGAUCCACUACAAAACCAACAACGAUAACCCCCGACCCAUUUGGCCAAGUCCAAACUACAGAAAUCAAGCCCAACAACCCAACCCACCUUCAUCCACCCAUAGCAAAAACACCCCACCAAACCUUAAUCUCCACCUGCAACCAUUUUACCCCCGUGCACCACCACUCACAAACCUCUAUUAUUUUUCCCCACCUGCCUACUCAUCUACAUCCACUCACGCACAUUCAGAUUACACCAUCACCAACGCAGUAGCUUCACGAUCUGCUAACCAUUUGCUCUCACAAGCCUUCACUAUCAAUCAAUUAGCAUCACUCUUGAGAGUCACAUGUGGUCAAGUGCAGUUGUGUGGCUUAAAUACUGAUCGGACACUAUGUGCUUAUUGAAUAAACUCAUUUUUUCUCCGUCUAUGUUCUCUUUUGAUUUUUUCCCCUUUCUUGUCUCUCUCCCUUUCUUUUUGACUCUCAUUCUUGUUUAUUGAAUCAUGCGUUGAUUUGGUAUGAAAAAGGUAUAUCUCUUUUGUUAUGAUUUUACAUUACUUUUAUUGUAAGUGUCUGGCUUGCCUGACUUAUAAACGGAAAAUGUUUUUUCCCCAACAAAAAAUAAAAAUAAAAAUAAUUGUUCGAUUUAAUCUUAAAAAAUAUUAAAUCACUUUGACUGACCUUUUGGAGUUUUUGCUCUAUUUUAUGCACGUUCUAAGUGAUAAUUUGCAAAUAUUUAAAAUAACUUACAUUUGCCUCGACGCUUCACUCAGCACCAUGCACAAUUCAUAUAGCAACUCUUGUAGCCUAUAAGCCCUAGUCAGAACCAAGAUAGCAUGCAUUCAUCUUUUUCCCUUCACUGAUCGGUUUAGCAACUAAAAAGAAAAAGCGUAAAAACAUCUCCUUCUUAUAUUCACAUUUAACUAUGGAAAUUCUUCUUAAGAGCCAUCCUCAAGCCUCCCAAAAAGAGAAAAUUCUCUGAUAAAUAGUCCUUACGCCGACAUUAGCAGCCCAUUUCCGAAAUGAAAGGGGUGAGCGACACACCUAUUACCAUUACCAUCCCAAACAAUGUCAACACAGUUGAAUUUGGUUUAGAAUGCCUCUCCAAGCGAGAGUUGCUUCCAAUUAAUAGUGUGAGCACUUCUGAUUACAAAGCUAAAUAUCAGCCACUGCAACAAUCAUGCCUAUCAUCCCAAUAAUCAUGUCUAACUAAGAAAAGACAAUGUACAAUAAUUAUACUCAUUACAUAAAUCAUUCCAUAAUUAGACUAUAUUAUAUCUCCUACUCACAUCCCUCUGAAAUUGAUGCUAGUCGAUCAAGAAGCAUCAAUUGGAUUUCUUUGAAAAAAUGUCAGCUAUUGGAAGGGCAGUGAAAAUGUGAGAAAGAGUAACGAUAUGAGUAUCCAAUGCCUCUUGAAUAGAAUAACAGUCCACUUCAAUAUGCUUAGUAAGCUCAUGGUAAACAAGAUUAGUAGCAAUCUGAAUAGCACUUAUAUUAUCAACAUGGAGUAGAAUAGGAACAGAUUGAGAAAAACCAAGGUCAGCUAAAAUCCCACGUAGUCAAAUAAUCUCAAAACAACCAGCAGACAUUGCCCGAUAUUUAGAUUCAGUAGAUGACUUAGAGACACGAUCUUGUUUCUUGCUUUUCCAAGAGAUCAGAUAAUCCCCAAGAAACAUGAACCACCCAUAACAAAUCAUCAGGUAUUUGGACAACCUGCCCAAUCUACAUCACUAAAAGCAAUAAGGCAGAGAGGAGAACCGGUAGGAAAAAACAAUCUGUGACUGUAUGUGCUUUGAAGAUAGCAAACGAUACGACGAACGACAGCUAGAUGGAGAUGACAUGGAGUGUAUAUGAACUAACUAACCUGCUAGACUGCGAAAGAAAUAUUAGGCAUCGUAAUAGUUAAAUAAUUCAGGCUCCCCACCAGUUGGUAAAACACAGUAAGAUCGGAUAAAAGAUCACCUUCCUCACUACGAUACUUUGUAUUUACUUCUAGAGAAGUUUCCACAGUAGAUGAAUCAUGAAGACCUGCUUUAAUCAAAUCUUGCGUAUACUUAUGUUAAUUUAGGAAAAUACCAGAGGAAUCAAUGAAAACCUCCUCUAACCAACCCUAAGAAGUAUGUAAGAGAUCCAAGAUCCUUCAUAUGAAACAAGCCUAAAGAUGUUUCUGUAGACGGGUAAUCAAAGCAAAAUCCAUCUCGAUAAUAACAAUAUCCUCAACAUAGAUAAGAAAAACAACAAUACUAGUAGAGCUCUUGCAAAGGAACAAGGAAGAGUCGUACUAGCUCUGUUGAAAUAAAAAGUGAAGCAAGGUAGAUCAAAAUUUGUCAAACCAUACCCAUAGAGCCUGUUUCCACCCGUAUAAUGAGCGCUUAAACUUAUACUUCUAAAGAAGAGGUGGUGGUCAGACAAGGAGGUAGUGUCAUGUAAACCUCCUCUUUGAUAUCUCCGUCAGCACUGUGGUCGUCUUAGCAACCGGAGCAGAAGUCUCCUCAUAAUCUAUACCAUACUCCUGUUUGUUAUCAAGAGCAGCCAACCGUACCUUAUAUCGAUCCAAAGUCCCAUUAAAGCGUAGUUUGAUCGAGUAAAACCCACUUACAAUCAAUAGCUUUAACAUUCUCAGGACAAGGAACAUCCCAGGUAUCAUUGUCCUUGAGUGCACAAAGUUCACCUGCCAUUGCUCACCGCCAGCAUUCAUGUUUUACUGCCUCAAAGAACCAGGUAGGUAUGGGAACGGAUGACAAAAUAGCAUGAAGAGAAUAUGAAAAAAUCCAUUGUGACGACCCGGGUCUCUGUACCCAAGUCAUUAGCUUACGUACUGUCCGCUUUGGGUGGGCUUUGCGCACACUUACCCCUUACGGCUUUUUGUCGCGUCCCCCAAGAUUCUAACUCAUAACAUUUCCCUUAAGUAAGACUUAAGUUGAAUCCCGGUACCAAUUGGACAUGAGGGCUUUCUGUCACGUCCCCCAAGAUUCGAACUCAUAACAUUUCUCUUAAGUAAGACUUAAGUUGAAUCCUAGUACCAAUUGGGCAAACGCGACAGAAAGCCGUGAGGAGUAAGUGGGCGCAAGGUCCACCCAAAGCGAACAGUACAUAAGCUAAUGGUUUGGGUACAGAGACCCGGAUCGUUACAAAAAAAGAGCUCAAUUGGUACCAAGAUUCAACUUAAGUCUUACUUAAGGGAAAUAUUAUGAAUUCGAAUCCUGGGGGACGCGAUAGAAAUCCGUGAGGGGUAAGUGGGCGCAAGGCUUACCCAAAGCGGACAGUUACGUAAGCUAACGGCUUGGUUACAAAAACCCGAGUCGUUACAAUACCUAUUAGGAGGACGAGAAAUUCUGGUAGAACUGCAAAGAUUAGUGUCCGAAUCCAACUCAUUCGUGGAAGGCAGUGUUAGAGCAGCCUCAAAUGGCAAGUCAGGUUCAUGUGGGGCAAAGUAGAGCAUCGUCAUUCAUAUACGAAUCCAGACUUGAACCGUUUAGGAGAAGAAGACAACACAUCAAAGUGUGGAAGGGCAUAUAUCUUUGGUAAAGGUUCAACAUGAGUCGGAAAAAAGUAUUGAUUUUUUAAGAAGACUACAUGACGAGAGAUACGAAAUCUAUUAGAGCAUGAUCAUAACAAAAAUAGCCUUUAUGAGAGACACUAUAACCCAUAAAUGCACAUCUAACAGAUUGAGCGGAAAGUUUGUUUCGUUCAUGAGAAGGAAAAUAAACAAAACAAACGCAAUCAAAGGCAUGCAUGUCAAGGUAGUUGGAAUGCUGAUGAUGCAAGCGAUAAUAAGGAGUUUCAAAUUUGAGAACACUGGAAGGUAAUCGAUCAAUUAAAGACUGUCGUAGAUAGAGCCUCGACCCAAAUUUAGGUGGAACUGAGGAUUCAAGUAAUAAUGUAUGAACAUCUAACGGAUGACGAUUCUUACAUUCAGCAACACCAUUUUGCUCUAGAGUAUGGACGAAUGCUGGGAGACAAUGCCCUUUUGGUGAAGUGAAUCGUGAAACUUUAGAGACAUUCUUCUACUAAAUCAGAUCUUAACACUUUAAUACUCGAAGAGAAUUGAGUUUCAACAUAAGCGACAAAUUGUUGAAAGACAGAACACCUCAGAUUUAGAAUGAAGAAAAUAAAUCCAGAUAUACCUACUAUAAUCAUCAAUGAAUGUAACAAAGUAUUUAUAAUGGGUAAGAGAUGACCGGAGACAUACCCCAUACAUCAUUGUGAAUCAAAUCAAAACUUCUUUCAGCACGACUAUCAUGAGAAGAAAGCGAAAGAGACUUGCCCUUACCUAAUUUGCAUGUGGAAUAAUCAAGAGAAAUAAGAGAUGAAAAUUGAUCUUUAUUGCCCAUCAAUCCAAAGUUUAUUAAAUGAGAUAAAACUACGGAAUUAGGGUGACCCAAACGUUUGUGUCAUAUUUCACCCUUAUUGUUAACUUUAUUAUAAGCCAUGGAAAUAAAUGGUAGAAUGAAAAAGUGCAGAGGAAACAAUCGACCAACUUUAGGCCCCUUCACGAGUAUCUUCCCCGACACCUGAUAGUGCACAAUACAGCCAUCACGAGAAAAUUGAACAUCACAGUCAUUAUCAACCGACUUUAUAGAUAUAAGACUAGUGGAAAGUGCAGGAGAUAGGAGAACAUCUUUAACAGAAGAAUUAAUGUCUCCAUCAUAAAUAGGUAAUUGACUACCAUUAGUAAUCAGAAUGUAUGAGGAUCCCUUAUAUGUCCAAAUAUUGCUAAGAGCAUUAGAAAAACCAAUCAUAUGAUUAUAUGCACCAGAAUCAACAAGCCAUGAUGAUGAUGGUAAAGAAAUGUUACCUUGAAGCCCAAGGACGAAAAGGAUAAAAUAAUCAUUUGCUGGACCAUCUCAAGAGUUAGGACUGAUGAAUUAUUAGCAGAAGAAGUACCAACUGUAGUAUUUAUAUGCACCAGAAUCAACAAGCCAUGAUGAUGAUGGUAAAGAAAUGUUACCUUGAAGCCCAAGGACGAAAAGGAUAAAAUAAUCAUUUGCUGGACCAUCUCAAGAGUUAGGACUGAUGAAUUAUUAGCAGAAGAAGUACCAACUGUAGUAUGAUAGGCAUUAGUUUGACGAUUCUGAGGGUGAGUGGGGCAUUCUUUAAUUUUAUGCCCUAGUUUCUUGCAAUAGUUGCAAUACUUCUUUGCACAGUGGACAGCUCUAUGUCCAUAUUCCUUGCAACUAAAGCAUUGGACCUUCCGCAUAUCUCUACCCUUCCCUUUCCCUUGAGCCGCAUAGGCAACUACAUUAGUUGGUAGUUUGUUUUGCUGUUAAGUGGCCUAUGCAGCAAUAUGUUGCUCCUCCCGAAGUAACUCCCCAAAGCACACAUCCAAAGGAGUUGGAUCGCGAUUCAUCAACUUAGAUCGAGCUGCCUCAAACUCAGGCCGCAACUUCAUCAAAAACUUAUCUCUCUUGCUUUGCUCAUGUAAUUCUUGAACUAUAGCAAGAAGGGCAUCAGGUACCUUUGCAUAAAUCAUAUCAGUAUAUUCUGCCCACAUAUUUUGAAACCCAUUUGCAUGACUUUAACAUUGAGUUUGUUCCGGUAUUACCUUAAGUCAACGAUACUCCUCGGGCUUCUACAUUUUCACAGGGCUCUUAUCCUGGUGCCACAUGUAUCUAAUUGUUUGAGAAAAAGAUGAUUGCUCGCUAAUUUAUAAUUCCUAUACAUAUUUGAUUGUUGUCUACUGAUUAAAUUCACAUUAUCUCCCGUUCGACCACUUGUGCAUAGUUCCAUGAUGAUAUUUAAAAGAUUGAUUAUUUUAAACAACAGAAAUUAUGAUUACGUACAUGGUAGGCACAUAUCAUAUAAUGGAGAUUUUUUUUUCUUUGGUAAGAUAACUCAAAUUAAGAAAAGGUUUUUAUAUAAUUCACUUGAAAUUAAUUUGUUUGACUAGCCAUCGAACUUGAAUAGAAGUUUUGUUUUCAAUAUAAUAGAUUAUUUCCUUAAUUAUGAUUACGUACAUGGUAGGCACAUAUCAUAUAAUGGAGAUUUUUUUUUCUUUGUUAGGUGUUUCUUUGGUAAGAUAACUCAAAUUAAGAAAAGGUUUUUAUAUAAUUCACUUGAAAUUAAUUUGUUUGACUAGCCAUCGAACUUGAAUAGAAGUUUUGUUUUCAAUAUAAUAGAUUAUUUCCUUAUCAUGGAACAUUCGAGCAACCGGUAUUGCACUUAUUUGUUUCUGCAUGCCAGUCUACCGGGCUAGUGUACUGUGCCGCUCAUUAUGUGGAUUCAGUUGUAGUUUUUGUGGAUAAGUUCCAAAGGUUAUUGUUUGAUGUUCACUGUCAAUAUUUGAUCAAAAAGAAAGAUCAUCCCCUUGGUCAGACAAUGUUAUUGAAGAUGAUUUUUGCUUUCAGUUGUCAUCAUAUGGUCAAUAUAUUCAGGAAGAAUCGCUCCUAUGAUGAGAAGUGAUCUACCUUGUUGGAGUUGAAAUCUCUUGGCUGGAGAGAAAUGAUGAGGAAUGAAGAUAAGAAUAUCAUCAGUAGAUUAGGAAUAAAGAUAGUUUAGUUUACAUUAACUUAUUUUAGUUUAUUAGAAUUUUCUAGAUUGACUAAAUUAGCAUUUUAUUUUGUAGAUUUUCUAUUUUGACUUAAAUUAGGCUUUAUUUCCUUCUUUUCCUUCUCAAAUUAGGUUUGCUUGAGGGUCUACUCAUUGUGAUAAUUAAACUUUUAUAUUAAAAAACUAAUAUUUUCUCCCUCUAAAUUUUUCCUUCCUCCUCCUCUUUCUUUUCUGCUUUCUCCUCUUCCUCCCCUCUUUCCCCUUCUACAAGUCUUGUUCUUUGUUCGUUGCAUUCUCUGUCACAUAAACUACAAUCCCAGAUUGUCAUCAUGAAUUUUCAUAGAGAACAACAUAUUUGCAUAUCUUCCCUGGACAACUUGAGCACAGCUUGCAGAUUUCACAAUGAUUUCCGUAAAAGCAGAGUACAAAUUGAACACCAACAGCUAUUUAAAUUUGGAGUAGAGAGGUUGUACUUCUUGUGUGCUUUUCCAUUUUCAUUUCUAUAUGUGUGUCAUGGAGUGAUACGUGGGAUUACCGUGUCUCUAACUAAAGAAAAAGUGAGAUUAUUACGACGACACAAUUUAGGAAAGAUUAAUAAAAAAGUCAGAUAAUAAAAGUCGACAUUAAUUUGAAAUGUGCCAAAAGAACAACAUAAGAGGAAAUGAUGUGCGAAAGUUUACUUUAUGGAAUUAAAAGUAGAGUAUGAGAUGGAGGAAAGACAGUUUAGUAUCACCAAUUCAAUGAGGUGUGUAGGCAUUAUUUGCAUAGUAGAUAAGCCAACAUUAAAACAAGGAAGAUCAAUUACCUGUAGACUGACCAGAAGGUAAUGACAUCACAGGUGGUGGUAGUGGUUGUGAUGGAAGAGUCAUAGGUUGUAGUGGCUGUGAAUAAAGCACAGAUGUAGGUCUUUCGCCCCCAAUCUUAAUGUCAACUGUGCCCCCCAAUUCUUUAUCUGAGAUGCCCCCAUUCAUCGGGGGAGAUUUAUUUCUACUGGUAACUCUUGAGCAUACUAUAAAUAGAAGAACACCAUUAAGAACAAAACAGAAGUUACAAGAAGAAGUAUCUGAGAUCAAUUAUCAUAAACACAUUACGUAUUCACGAAAUGAACUCUUGUGAGAAUGUUAGUUUAAGGUGAACAAUGCAUAAAUUUACCAUAUAUAUUUAGCACACUGCUACACUCGGGGAGAAUUUUCAAAAAGAAACAUGAAUAAAUUUACGAUAUCUAUAUUCAAGGAAAUAUUCUACCCAAUAUGCAGUCAUAAUGGUCGGUCAUCUUAAGGUGCAGUUAAGAUGUAGGUGAAAGGACUUACCAGCAGGUGGUGCUGAUGAUGGCAGCAACUGUGGUGGCGGGAUAGGUGGUGACAACUGUUCUGGCACAGAUUCAGGUCGAGACCCUGAUGGAUGUCCUUCAACAUCAUUUUUUAUUUCUUUUUUGCUCCCCAUUUCACGUCCUACAAUGUUCACAAUUCUUUGGUUAUUCUUCCUAUUCAAUAUCCAAUUUCUAAAUUGUCAUAUCAUUUCACAAUGCCAAAUGGACAAUCGAUAAUUUGCAUGAAGGGGGGAGAAAAUUGCGUGAGGAAGAAAAUUGAGUCAGCCAGAUCUCACCUUUAAAAUUAUUAAAAUGUAUUCUUUUCACUGUCCAAAACCCUAAGUUCAGCAAAUACAUCUACCUCACUCAGCAAAUAAACCCUCAAAAUCUUGCACGUUCGCUCUAACUUGAUAUGCGCAGCAUUUAAAAAAGCAAAAUAAGGUAUUGAGGUGUUUCUCUUUCGAGGCAAGGCACAAGCCUCACCACAAAUCAAAAGAACAAGUAAAAUAUAAAAAAAUGCAAAAUUUAACCAUGUAUCAAACCAUAAACAAACUUUAAAAUUCAUAAACACAAAAUAAAUCAAUGAAGUAGCAAAAUUAAUUUAUUCCCUACUCUUGGUGAGCCUCUUUUGGUUAGAACAUGCAUGCAUGUAUCAUAGGUACAUGACUGUAGUAUUAGUUAAUUGGUGGAAUGUAUUUCUUCAAUACACAUCAAACAUAAAUUCAAGUUUGAUCUUAUCGUAGAAGGGAAGUUAUCUCCUAUUACUAUAUUACUUCCUACCUAACCAAGGAAAUACAAGCAGCAUAACAAUCUCUAAUUCUAUACAUUCCAAAUCCCCGCUCAAGUUGGUACAUAGAUAUCACACAGGCCUAACUUGGAUAGCGAUUUAUGGAAUGAUCCACUAACAACAUUAUGGGUCAUUAUAUCAGCCAGUUGACAUAUGAGCAAUUGGCGCCAACCCAACCUUUUUUAAAUUUUACGUUACACUGCAUCCCUUCGAACUCUACACUCUUAACGUAUAGGACCUAUAUACUCUGGAAGUCGAGGUUACCCUUGACGUAAUUUCUGCUAAGUUCAACAUGCAUGGUUCAAACAUACUGUACCAAGUUAUUAGCUGUCUCAAUAGCUAUAGUGUUAUAACAGAAAAGCACCAUGGGUUUCUUUGGAGAAUCACAGGCUCACUAAGAAGAAUUUUCAACCAUUUAACUUUAGUAGAUGCAUGAUGAAGAGCAAGGUAUUCAGCUUCAGUACUCAAGGGUGAUACCACUUUUUGUUUCUACUCUCUGAGUCCUCAAAUUGCCUCCAAUAAAUGAUACAUGCCAUAAUGUAGACUUCCUAUCAAAUCUUUACCCAACAAAAUCAGAAUGUGUAUAACCCAUAAUAUCUACAUGCCCAUGCUUAGAAAAAUGAUAACCAUGUCUCGAAAAUGUUUUAAAUUUACCAAUAUACGAUUUACUACAUUCUUGUAACAAUCAUUCGGAUAAUGCAUUAAUUAGCUCACAACAUACUACAUAUUACAAGGUGUUCUAUGUAAUAUACAUCAACUUCCAUACAAAUCUUCUAUAUAUCUCUUUCUUCUUUGGAGUUUGAUCGAGAUAAAUAGAAAGUCCAUGAUUUACCUUAAUAGGAGUGUAUUCAGGCUAAGUUUUUGGUUUCUGUUAAGAUUUUUAGUGUAUAUUUUUGUUGGGAGAAGAAACCCUUGCUUGGAAUGAGAUAUUUCAAUGCCUAAGUAGUGUUUUAGAGUCCCCAGAUCCUUUAUUUCAAAUUCGCAACGUCUCUUAUCUCACUGGAGUUACUACUGUAACAAUCAUGUAGUCAACAUAUCCAAUAAUCUGCGUGAUAUCAUCACCAUCUCCAGAGCCUGCUUAAAUUUGUACUCUUUCAUUAAGCAGCUCAGUAUCCCAAACCAAGCCCUUAGUGACUACUUGCAACCGUACAGGGGUUCUCCAGCAUAUCUACGUUACCUCCUGGAGGUGUUGUCUAUCGAAUCAUCAUGAAAGAAAGCUAUCGAAUCAUCAUGAAAGAAAGCAUUAUUAACAUCAAAUCAUCUUAAUGGCCGGUCUAGAUUAACAGUUACCAAUAGUAUGACUAAAAAUGUUAAUAUUGGCCACCAAAGCAAAGCUUUUUAAUAAUCAACCCAUAAGUCCACCUGCAACCUUUGGUUCUACUAUAAUAGACUUCCACUUUCCAUCUUUAAGGGCUCCCUAAAAAUGACUAGGAAUAAGCACAUAAUACAAGUGAAAGGCAGAUGUCAGGUAAGUCUUAAUAAGAGAUUUUGAGAAACCCAACCAAUCGAGUUCUUUCCAAUUGCAAAGAGGGAAUCUUCAACCUUGACUGCCAGCUAAUCGAUUCAAAGUGGUAGUUUCUGAAGUUCCAGGGUUAGAAUCAGAAGAUAGUGUUAAGAAAAAGGGGGGAACAUGUAACUCAUGAUUAUUUUCGAAGAGUCAUUAAAUGGAACAGUAUUAUUAUCAAGGGAAAGGUUGGAAUUGUUUCAGUAUGGCAAUGGUUCCACAAUAGAAUUUUCUCCUUGUAUAACUUUUUUUAAACAACCUAGGUGAUCUUUGACUCCAAACAUCAGUUUCAUCUUGUGGAGUGAACGGUUCAUCUACGGACUCUUACCUUUACCUGAAAUCCACCAUCUCUUCUUUCCCAAACACACCCAUUCCUCUUGUUUACUACUUUUAUCUCCCCUAAAAAGGAACCAACUAAACAACCUCAGAGUAGGACUCCAGUAAACUAAACAACUACAGACAUGCAAAAUUGACCUGUAGGAAAAUGGACUUAUAGUUUUUUUGGGAGUAAGAAUAUCCAAGAAAAACAUGUAAGAGCAUCAGGAUCAAGCUUAUCUUAAGUUGAGAUUGCACAAGAAUAUAACACAAAGAGCCAAAUGCUUUAGAACUAAGAUUUCAGGCAAAGGAAUUGGUGUAAAAUCAUGACACCUUUAAAGGGGUUAGUUAGAUAGUCAAUGAUAGGAUCUAUAAGAAAGAUAGCUGUACUGCGGUAAUGACAGCUCAGCCCAAAAAUAUUUAGGAACACACAUAGUAAAGCAUAAGGUUAUACUGGCCAAUUCUACGAUAUGCGAGUUCUUACGCUCUACUAUACCAUUCUGUUGUGGUGUGUAGGAACACAUUGUGAUGAGGACAUAUAUUUUAGACUAUUUAGUUUAGUAUUUUAUUUGGGUUUAUAUUAUGUUUUGGGCCUUUUUAUUUUUCUUUGGGCUUGUAUAGUGUUUUGGGCUGGCCCAAGCCCAAUCUUUUGUUUGUAUAUUAUAUAGAGGCAUGCAGCCUGUUGCAUGCAGAGGAGAUUUGAUGGAAAUGAAUAUGAAUUGAAAGCCACAGGCUUUUCCACCGCCCCUCUUCUUCCCCUUCUCCUUCUCCUUCUCUCCUCCUCCUCUUCUCUUUUCUUACUAUAUGUAUUCUGCUUCUUCUUCUGCUGGUUUCUUCAACCCUCACAGGUUCUAAGUUAUCAAGCUAUGCUACAUCACAUUGGCUGUUGAAGUAUGCCAUAUGCGAAGAUUUGUUUAGAGAUUGAUUCACAAAUUCUUGAUUUAUAACCUUCUUUCUAACAAAUAAACCCAACUCAUCCUAGUGCAGUCAUCCAUAAAAGGCACAAUGGCCUAAACGGUAAUGCCAUGGAAGAAUUUUCUCCCUAGCGGAUGUUUCUCUCACCACUUGGAAACCCCUGCUAUAUUGUAACUGCAACUCACUUGCCCCCUCUUAAGUAGUAAAGACCUCCCCUUUAUCUACAACUGCCAUCAUCAUCUUCAUUACAUAGCCCUAAAACACAUAAUGGCAGAAUAAAUCACACAAAGAUUAAGAUGCUUGAUGAUUUUGCUCAUCUCUAGAAAGUUAUUAGAGUGUUGGUGCAUAUAAAACAGAAGUCAUAGAGAGUGGGAGAGACGUUCCAUGCCCCUAAAAUUGGCAUAGGACCAACAUGAGCACACGUAAAAGAUGAGCAUAUGAGUGACCCAAGUAGGAAGAGUUACUAGUCAUAUGGAUAUUGGCCCCUGAAUCAAUAACCCAAGCAUUAGCGACAGCAAAAAUAAAAGCUUAUUUAGAAUUACCUCCAUGGGAGAAUACUCGAGAUACGUGAGAAGCAAAGGAUGGAGAGAUGCCAAUUGUUUCGGUCAAUCUUUUAUAUAAAUUAUUGAAAAAAAAAUGAGAUUGAGAAGAAAAAAAUAACCAAAUCUAAAUAAAGCCCAAAACAACCUCAUUCGAAUAGCAAGCUCAAUUCGCUAAAUACUACUAUUACCCAAUAACAAGCCAGUAUACAAACAAAAAGACUUGUCGAUUCAACAGUAAGAAGUGUCAGCGUAGAAACCUAGGGCAAUGAAUCGCUGGGUCAACCAAGAAGAAGCGCUGCCCAACAGUUCGGAGGUCGCCGAAAAGUUACCACAACAAGGUCGCAAACACCACAGAAAAUUUUGUGCAACAGCCACACCCCAAAAACCGUUUGCCCAGCAACGAUCAAAUUUGUUGAUAGAAAACAAUCAAAUAUUACUACUUCCCAAUAGCGAGCCCAAUUAGCUCAGUUGUCUAAAAACAAGCAAAGGCAGUAGAUGAUUAAAAAAACUUUUCAACAGUAAGAAGAGCAAUCAGC